RNAcentral lists this long non-coding RNA (45538 nucleotides) under Chlamydomonas reinhardtii. RNAcentral's name for it is "long non-coding RNA (CREI_LNC000181)". Lineage: Eukaryota; Viridiplantae; Chlorophyta; Chlorophyceae; Chlamydomonadales; Chlamydomonadaceae. The record is from RNAcentral.
AACAGCGUGGUGGCAGCGUUGCCGCUGCCGCCGCCCAGGCCGGCGCCUGGGAGGUGAGGGCGACACGGGGACGCCAAUGCGCGGCAGGUGUGGGCGUGCGCGGGGGGGGGGGGAGAACGAGGCGCAACACGUGGGUGGCGCUCACCUCUUCGCUCAUGCACGUGCAGCCUGGUUAUGAGUACAGCCCGAGUCCCACAAACAUGUAUGUGCCCCUGCCCGCCGGGCCUCACCGUGCGGCACGCGCUUGUGCAGCUUGACCUUAUAGUACAUGGUCUGCAGCGUCUUGCGCCGGUACAGGUUCAGCGCCUGCACCCGGUGCGGUGGUUGUAUGAGGGGCGUGAAGGCAGUGGGGAACGGGUGUACAAAUGCGGGAGGAAUGAGUACCGUGUUCAGGCGCCAUGUUGCAAGUAAAGGUCGAAGAUGGCUGCUUCUUGGCAGCGGCUUCGCCAUAGCAGCCAAUAGCAGGCUCUGCGUAGAUGUGGCCUUCGUACCCCGCGCCAGGCAGCCUUGGCCCCGCAGUGAACCGCACACGCAACUUGAAUCCCUCCACACACGCAUGUGCCGUCAGGUACGCAUCCCAAGUUCCUUCACACAUGCCACUGCCAUUCCGUGGCUGACUCACUUUGAUGACCAGGUUGGACUCGUCGGUGGGGAUGGUGGGGUCGGAGCACUCCAACGUGUCUUGCAGCGCGUGAGGGGUGGUCUCGAACUCCAUGUAGUCACCCAGGUCAAUCACCUGAGCGUAUGUGGCACCAGCACCAGGUGGGUUAGGUGCAGGGGCAGGAGCAGGGUUGGUGGGCAGUGGGGGCACGCAGCUAGGGAUGGAUCCCUAGCUGCGGGAGGCCACUGAGGGUGGCGGUGCCGCGAUGGCGUGCCUCACCGCGGCAAGCAGCCCACCACCGUGUGGCCGCGUGGCCGGCCGAGACGCCCCCCACCCAUGUCAGUGCCACUGGCACAUGCCCAAGGAGCCUUUGCUGGCUUACGUGGAACAGCGACGCCAGGUCAUGGUACCCAUCCUCACGACGACGAACGACACGCAGGAACAGGUUGAUCUGCGGCAACCAGACCCAGGCAUACAUGCGUAUCAUAUCUAAAACCACUGUUUCCCGCCACCGCUCUGCCCACCAGUGGGGAGGAAGCAAGGCAAGCAAGCGCAUGAUGGAUGCCGAACCUUUGAGGGCGAAAAAAGCUGGACCGCGUUAGGCUUAUAGUUCGCGUGAACCACAACUGCUGAUGUGCGUCUGCGCGCGCCCGCAAUUCGAGCAGGGGCAACUUUCCGUGCAAGCGAACUCGUCCGCGAGACGCCACGCUGGGCAGCUCCUGAUUGUAACAUCUUCACGCUCAAGGUUAGAUGUACUUGAUAUUUGAGUGAUCGGGCGGAAAUGCUCUGAAACAAGGACAAAGCUCUGAGCAGGCGUGUCUGCUUGUCCUAACGAAUCCCGCCACUUUGUUUGAACUUAUUGAAUUCUAGUAAUCCAUGGCUCGGCAAGGAAAUCCGUCAGAAGUUUCAUGCAUGGGCUGGAUGGAAGUUUCGCUUUGACCACGCUGGAGCCAUGUCGACAGGUUUGAUGGUCUUUAAACUGUGCAGAAUCAAAUUAUUACGACGUAUCAGGGCAUUUCGACUGCACCCACUGCACAUACUUUUGUGUUUCGCUGUUUCCUGGGCUCAAUUGCGUCACAACUUGUUAUUUCUAGUAAACUAAGAUGAGUAGCUCGUUUUUGCUGUCAUCACUUUGCUCGAGAGGCGCCGUUUCGACGGCGUGGACCUCCUCCUCAGCAUGUGCGCCGCCGGCGUGCACCUCUCGGAUGGUGCUACGGAGCCGCGGUAGGUGCCUGUGCACCUAAGUUAUCUCGUUCGGGAAGGCGGGAGGCGGCCGCUGCGAUUGCCACUUCGCCUGAGCUCGGAAGUGGCCGUUCGCGUGCCUGUGGCGGUGGCACUGCGGCCCUACGCCCACCGGAUCCUGUGCGUGCCGCUGCAUUGCUUCAAGUACCCGCUUACCCUUGCUAUUUACAUACCCCGCGUGCAGCUGUUGCACCCCAUUCCGCACAGCCGGUGCAGCACCGGCGCGGACGCCUGGAGGUGGUCUGCAUGGUGGGUGCCGGCCGGACAGCAGGGAUGGCUGCCAUAUAAUACUGUAGCCCCGGAUGCCCGUGGACCAUUGUUGAUCCAGCUCUAGACAAAGUGCAGCCCCAUUCAGCCUGCUCUGGACGGCCGGACCUGACAGCAGCUCUCGAUUCUGCGCCCACCACCGCACAGGCGCACCCCCGGCGAGUCGCCAAGGUGGCCAGUGCCAUCCAGCGCGAGAUUGGCGACAUGUUCGUGUCAGACCCGGUAAGAACGGGUGGGAGUGGGGAGGUAAGGAGGCACGGAAGCUGAAUGCAGCCCCAGAGGGCUGGGGUGUGCUGUCAUGGACCGUGGGAGUGGGUGGUAGGGAAUCGCAAGUUGAGGGUCGGGAGCCUGGCAGCAGGAGGCAGGCAGAACCAGCUGCCCGGCAAGGGAGAUGCCUGGGCCCUGCGGCUGGCUGUUUCCGGGCAGCCUUCGCGUCUGGGCUCGGACCCAGCACGCCACCAUGCUGGCCAUCUUGAAAGGCAGCGGGCCAUCGUUUACCAUACCCUCGCCCUACCUCUCACUAGCCCGCCUCCUCCCGCCGCUUGGCUUGACCUGACCCGUACCGCCUUUCCUCCGCACAGGUCAUCCAGGCCGCCAUCUGCCCGGAGCGCAAGCUGGGUGACGACGCGCUGUCGGCCGUGGCCAGCAUCACCGACACGUACGUCUCCAACGACCUGCAGGUGCGCCCGCAUCUCCCAAUGUUUGGUUGGAAUGGGGUACGUAGUGAAGGCGGGUCUGAGGUACACGUCAUGAUGUGUGUCGGGCUAUGCGGCGCCCCCACGUGGGUGCGCACCGUGUGCUAUGGGGGAGACUUUCCGUCACGGCCCCGUCCCAGCGUCGCUGGCAACGUCCACAGCUGUGCGCACCACGCGGCGCUGCUCACUCGCUGCCAACACGACCGCUCCCCGGCCCUGCCGCGGUCCUGCAGGUGGUCAAGGUGUUUGUAAGCGUAUACAGUGACGACUACGGCAAGCGAGUGGCCAUGGAGAACCUGCAGCGCCUGGAGCCGUGAGUGUCCGCGGGCGCCGGGGGGCAUCGGACGAGGCAUCGGGGCGGGGAUGGAAAUGCGGGGGAUGGCAUCCGGGUGCGGGAGGGGUCGAGGAGUGAGGUGCGGCUGCGGGCCCACUUGAAGGCUAGUCUGUGCCCGCCGCUUGGCGUUUUCAGGGCCGCCACGGCGCGUGUGACGGUCGAGGACAGCGGACUCUCGCCACAUCACACCGCGAUCUGCUGCAGCUCACAUGUAACCGUACCAUACACGCCUCCCAUUGAGCAGCUGCCCCCUUGUGAUGUCGCUGGCUUACCGCCCCACCUGCCUCGCCAUUCCCGCGCAGCUACGUGCGGAGACUGAUCGGCCAGCGCGUGCGGCUGCGGCUUACGCCGGAGGUCCGGUUCGUGUACGACGACGCGGAGGAGGAGGCUGACCUGGUGGCGCGUGUUAUUGGGCGCGAGGAGGUGGAGCGGUACCGGGAGGAGAUCGAGGUGCGAACGGCGGGGAGGAGCCAGGGAGCGGCCGGGGAGGAGUGGGCUGCAGCGGCAGUGGCAGUGGCGAAGGGGCAGAGAGGAUUGCAUCGGGGCGCAGUGACGCAGGAGGUGGAGACGAGUUUUGGUUGGAUUGAGUUAGUAAGGAAGGCUUGCGAGGGUACGCGGCAGUAUGGCGCUGCAGCGCGGCGCAGCCACUGGCACCUUGGGCAGCUGCCUCGCCAAACAAACAGCACCUCGUCAGCAAAGUCGUAUGCCUUUGUUGGUUUUCAAGUGCCAUUGUGGGGAUUCAGUUCCGACCUGUUGCCCGGCCUUCGCAUGCAGGCGGAUAUGAUGCCGGGCCGCCCCCGCGGCGACGGCGCUAACGAGGAGGAGGAGGAGGCGGACGAGGAGGCUGGCGUCGAGGGCGCUGACGCGGGCGAGGGCGAGGAGGAGGAUGAAGAGGAGGAGGGCGAAUUCGAGGAGGACGAAGACUUUGAGGACCCAGACGAGCGGCCGCAGGAGUACCCCAACCCCUUUGGCGACCUGUUCAUCGACGACCGCGAGUACCGGGCAGUGGCGGGCAAGCGCGUGGAGGAGCGGAGGCGUAGCCAGGGCCGCCCGCAGCCGCAGGGCCGCGGGCAGGGGCGGCGUGGGCAAGGGCAGCAGCGGGAGGCGGCGGCGGCUGAGACUGGUGAUGAGUAGGUAUAAUGUCUGUUUGUCAGUGUAUACUAACGAGCACGUGCGGGCAGCGUGCAGGAACCGUGGAUGGCCGCAGCAGGCAGGUUCAUUGAUAGCGCAGUGCGACGGGAGCACGGGGCCUCCGGCACGCAAGAGCUACUGGCCUACUGCUAGAGUACGUCCUACGGCGCUAGUCAGGAUCGCGCCUGGGAUCGUCGUCUCGCCUGGUGCGAUGGGACGGGGUAAGGGGCAGGGUGGCGUAGUCUGGGCAUUCGUCUCGCCCGGUGCGGUCUUCUCUCCAUUACGUAGCAGUUGCAACGCGUGGAACGUCGUGUACUCGCCAAGGUCUUGUGAUGCGACGUGAUACGUUGUCUGUAUUAUCAGUUCUUGGGCGGAAGGCCUGACGAGUCAGUGAGCGGAUGGGCGGGCGAGGGGCAAGGGGGGGGGGCUGCUGGAAGCUGGGUGGGGGUGGGGACCGGCGUGGAGUGGGGCCAGACCGACAUAGCCCAUCGCGCAUCGAUAGCUUACCCAAAGACCCUGUCAGGUAACCUUCACCGCAUCGUCUAAAGAUUAAACCAGCACAAUCAGUGUAUUAGGAACGCUGUGUUCCAGUCGUUUGCCGGCCCAAAAUACCUUUCGCCGCAUAAGCUCUUGACAGCAUCGUUACUCUUUGUUGGCCAGGUCUUCCAAUGAUGGAGUCAUAUGAUAGGAACUAGCGACUAAGGGAGGAGGAGCGGACACCGCAGAAAUGGCAGGGGUCAGUACGCAGUCUUGUUCGAGUGCCCUCUCGGCCAGUGCAAAGCGUUAUGAGUGCGAUGCUGUAUGACGCCCGAGAAUUACCGAGGCGUCGCGCUGGCAGCACGUGUGGCAAUUGUGAAAUGUCUAGUUUCAGCACCUCGGGUUUGCGGCCAGCCGGCGCGCGCGCAGUCCUUGAUAGCCAUACUUUUGCAAUGCAACCUCAAUGAAUGUGUCCGGCCCGGCGCUUCACUCCUCGCGUUCGUAAUUUUGGCACGCUCGCCCACGGGGGAGGGCAACGCUCGUAGCCUCACAAAGCUUAACCUUUACCGCCCCAACCCCUUGUGACUUUACUUGCAGCACCGGCGCUCCAUGGAGCUGGGAGAGCUGCGCCCGGUGCCCGAGGACGCCUCAAAUGCGCCGGGGCUGGGCUCACAGCCCUCCCAGCGCAUCACCAGCCGGCCAAGCACCCUCUCCCGCGUCGCGGAGACUCUGGGCCUUGCUGGCAUGCUUAGCGGAAACAGCGGCCGUCUCAGCGGCAGCGGUGGCACUCCCGCUAACGGUAGCACGAUUGGUCAAGGCGGCAACAACGGGGUCCUUGUGGCGCAAGGCAGCAGCGGCAACGGGUUGGGGCAGGGUGGCGGCAUGUCGGGCCGGGUGAGGCGCGAGCCUUCCCGGGCGGGGCCCGGAGGCGGCGGCAGCGGCCUGGGCCGCACCAGCCUGAUGGUGAAGCUGCAACAGAGCAGCAAGCAGCUGGUGGACCUGGGCAAGCUGCAGGCCAAGUGGGUCAGCGCCACGCUAGUCAAGAAAAGCGAGGCGCAGGACUACGUAAAUGAGGGUGCGUGGGCGCUGAGCGGCGCAGGCUGGGUAGGGCGGAAGGACUGGAAAGGAGUACAGAGACGUGAGGACUGGGACGUAUACCAGUGAUGUGGCGGGUUUCCGGUUCGCCCUGGGCUUUCUUGGAGCUGGCCGUCCUGGCCCGGAAGUCACGCCGGCCGCGGGUAACGAGCAGCCGCGACAGCUAGGCGCGGGUGGAUGCCGUCCGGAGUGGUCACCUCGCAAGCUAACCUCAUCAAAUCAGCCUCGCACUAGCGGCCCCGAAGUCGCACAUGCAAGCCGCAACUCCUUUGGGGUUUGGGUCUACCGGCUCAGCCGCCUCAACGGCCUCACUCUCGACAGCCACCAGCUCAUAUGCCGCGCCGGCCGUUGCACCACCUGCAGCCCCGGAACAAGGCGCAGACCCGUGCCCAUGCCCAACUGCCCAACAAGCUACCAGUACUUACACGCUGUGCUUUCUUACUCUCCGCUGCGCCUGCCACGCCCGCCACUGACCCUGUCGCCGCCCGACUCGCCACUCCCGCACCGGCACCCAGAGGACCAGGGCUUUGCGGCGCUGCUGGCGCGGCAUGUGGAUGUGCCCACAGCUGCAUGGCACCGGCUGCUGGCGGCUCUUGGCGCGGAACAGCAGGAUGGGCAGUUCUGGCAGUAAGUGGCGGGGUGGGGUGCGGGGCACCGUCUUCGCUUACCAUUCAAACCGUCUAUGGGGACGUGAAUAGCAGGACGGGGUUGCGCGGACAUACGAGGCUGCGGAAGGACGGCGCUUGACAUCAGGCUAUACCAUCUUUGAUCUGGUUGGGCGGUCUGAUAGCCGCAGAUACCGUCGCUGCUUACACAGCGCCACGUUCAUUCGCACUCGCAGGACGGGGCUGGGCACAGCGCCGGACGUCCAGCGCGCAACUCGGACCUCAAUUGAUGAGCCCCCUGGGGGGUUUGGGCGGAGGCAGGAGGCUGACGGCGGCGACGGAGCCGAGGAGGGGCGGGCGAGAUCUCUGGAACGACAACCGUAAGCCGGCAUUCAGCUUUGGCUGGUGAUCGAUGCCUGCUUCACAGACUCCCAUACGCAAUCGGCACGGCGGGGAUAGAUUGCAGGGCGCACAGCUUGCCGGCCUUCGCCUCCUUCCCUUGGCAUCCUGUCACAACAUCCAGCCUCACCUGGCCUCGCACCACGUUGCUCCUCCCUACCGGCAUCGCUUUACUAUGGUAGACAUCCCAACGAACUCCACCGGCACUCGCCUGACUGGUGAUGCCUGCAACCCUGUCUUCCCCCGUGUCCCUUAUCCCACACAGCCGGCGCUCCAUCUUCUUGCUGCCGGUCGUGUCGCCCUACAACCUGGCUGCGGUGCUGUGGCAGCUGACCAUCCUGCUGCUGGACCUGGUGUACACGGCGUUCUGGGUGCCCAUGAACGUGAGAGGCGCGGGGCGGGCGGGCGGGAGGGCCAGCUGAGAGGCAGGAGCAGCCGGCAGCGAAACUGGUGCACACGCGCAGGCGUGGCAGCCGCGAAAUGCAAAGGGUACCUCUUUCCUCCACUGACUGCCACCAGCAACACCACUAACUCCGCCCGACAUGUCCUUACGUGCGCGUGCGUGCGGCGGAUGCGCAGGUGGCGUUUUGCACCGCCGAAUACGGCAACCUGCACAGCGGCUGCACCGUGAGCGAUCUGGUGGGGGGCUGCUUCUACUUUGUCAACGUGUUGGUCAGCUUUCAGGUGCGGCGGGAACUGCAGGGGUUUGUAGGUGCACAAGCGGGUGUUACAACAAGGUGGAAACGGCCUUGCCUUCGCCGCACAGCCUCUGAAGCUAUCACCACCCCGUUUCCAUUCGCAACUAUGCGCGUCGGACCCAACCUCCACCCACCUGCCGAAUCCUGCAAACGUCCCGCCCUUCCGUGUCCCGCAGAUCGGCGUGGUGGCCACGCAUGGUUACCGCAAGCGCACGGUGGAGGACGGCGGGCUGGUGGCGUGGCUGUACGCGCGCUACGGCCGCUUCUGGCUGGACUUCGUGGCGUCCGUGCCCUUCAUCUACCUGGUGGUGCUGCUGGCAGGCAGCUUCAAGCUCAACAAGAGCUGGGUCAACUGCCUGUCGCUGCUGCGGCUUUUGCGCAUGGUGCGCUUGGUCAGCAUCUCCAAGGUGCGCGCCGAUUGGGCUGGGGACCAGGGGGGCCUUCGAUGUGAUUAAGGAGUCGGGAGGCAGGGUUUAUCCUAUUGGGUUGAUGCACCUUUCAAAUCUCCAGCCACCACAAUUUCUGUAAGAGACUCCUGGUUGGGCUGGCGCCUGGAGGCGAGGGCAAGCCACAGAAGCAGCAAUAGCUGCAGCGGCAGCAGUAGGACCGUAGGCGUAGUCAGUGUGCUGGGGUUUGCAAAGCGGAAACUUGCACCACUGUUUAGGCUCGUCCUCCACCUCCUCCGCCCCACGCCUGCAGGUGGUAUACGUGGACAGCCUGAGUGGCCGCUUCCAGGACUCCUCCAUUGCGCGGCGGCUCAGCGUGACGGUGCUGUACAGCGCGCUGCUGGCCUACCAGCUGGCGGUGGCCAUCAACCUGCUGGCCUGCAUCAUGGUGCUGUGCGCCUACUUCGAGGUGGGUGCGGCGGGCCGGUGUGGCUGGCCUGGUGGUGGGCAGGCUGGGCCGCCGGGCGGGCUCGGCAGCGGCCACUGGCAGGCUGGCGGGCGGGCUGGCGGGUUUGCAUUGGAUCUCGAGGCUUGGUGUGGGGGGCCGAGACAGCAGCUGGGAGCUGGACGGCGGCGCGAGGCCUGUAGGCUAGGAUGCAGGAAGGGUGGCGUUGGGGAGCUGUAAGCACCAGACCAAUGCUGCUGACCAGCCUCCCCCUCGACCUGGUUCGCUGGUCGCCUGCACGCGCCCGCCCGCAGGGCUACGAGAACAGCUGGAUGUCCAGUGUGUCGUGGACGCGCCUGUGGGAGGCCGCGCCCAUCUACCAGUGGUACUGCGCCGUGUACUGGAUGAUUGUGACGGUGAGAGAGCCGGCAGCCCCCCUGCUGCUGAUGACGACGACGCCCUGCGCUCAUGCCUGCAGCCCAACCAUCAACCUAACGGCCUCACCACCUACCUACCUACCUGCCUGCCCGCCUUGCCUGUCUGUCCGCCCGCUGUCCGCCCGCCUUGCCUGCCUGUCCGCCCGCAUGCCCACCCGUAGACCACCACCACCGGCUUCGGCGACUUCCAGCCCCGCAGCGCGGCGGAGCAGGUGGUGGCCAACGUGGCCAUGGUGGGCGGCAUGGUCAUGUUCGGAGUGCUGGUGGCGUCCAUCGGUAACGCGCUCAGCAGGGCCACCGCGGAGGCACACCAGGUGCGGGGUAGGGGGCGAGGGAGGGCUGCGGGAGGGUUGAGGGAGGGCGUUGGGUGGCAUGGGAGGGAGGGGCCCAGGCGCGGCUAGGAGCUGCCGGCGCCGCUUGUGUGCCUUGGACCUCGUUGUGAUGUCGUCUUGACGCUCCUCCUCUUCAUGCUGUCGCGCAACACAGGCGUACGGCUCGCGGCGCAAAAUCAUGCACGUCAAGGAGUGGGCGGAGCACCGCGCCUUGCCGCCCAUCAUCUCCAAGCAGGUGCAGGUGCGUGACACCGCCGCCCGGCCUCGCGGCCGGCGUUGCAGCACGGCCGCCAGGCUCUUCGUGGUCAGCAUGAUGUGGCUGCCUGGGUCGUAGCAUGGACUCUCACACAUGCGAUGUACGGCAUUCACGCACGGAAUUGCACGUGUCGACUCCCGCUGCCCCCCAAACCUCUGGUUUGUUCACGUUUCCGUCUUUCGCGGACGGCUGACCCCUCCCCCCCCAGAACUUCUACGCGGACAAGUACGGGCGCAAGCAGGAGGACGCCAUCGACAUGGCCGUCAUGUCGGAGCUGCCCAGCCGCCUGCGCGCCAAGGUGGCCCGGGCCAUGGUGGUGCCGCUCAUGGCGGACUGCCACAUCCUUAUGGAGCUGCCCGAGGACCUGCAGGUGUGUGUGCGUGUGGGUGGGGAGGGGGAGGGAGAUGUCCAUGCAAGGCAAGGGGGAAGGCAGCCAAGUCGCGAGGUAGCGUGAGUGGCGUGCGCGGACGGUGUGAUGGUGCGGAUGAGAGGUGCUGUGCAGUCCAAGGGCACAGCAGGGGCCUGUAGCAGGAGGGCUAGGUGCAGUGGCGUGCAUGCAGCGAAACACAUGCGCUUGCAAUUUGACCAUAUGUCAUUGUCUGGCGCCUUCGCUUUGACCCGCAGUCGCUGUUGGCUGAGAACAUGCGGCCCAUCCGCCUGCCCGCCGGUAAGCAGCCGUGCAAAGCGGCUUCACCUUGGCGGACUGUGUGCCAGCGUGCUUGCACUUGCACCUGUGCCCUACCCAAGCCGCUUGCCACACAUCCACACCAGCACCGCCUACCCGUCGUACCCACCGCCGGCGCCUGACGCCCACAAACACGCACACGCCCGGACACAGGCGAGGACCUGUGCCAGCAGGGCGACGUGGCGGACUGCUUCUGGGUGCUGCAGGACGGCACCGUGCAGGCCGUCCGCUACAAGUGAGCGCGGCAGCAGGCAGGGGCACCCGCCAGCACACGGUGUCCGCGCCGACUACUUCGGCCCGGUCUCCGAACGGAACUGCCGCAAAGCACACCUAUCCUGGACCUGUGGAACACCUUGCUCACCUCCUCCUCCACCCGCCUCCUCCACCCACGCUCUACUACACCUGCAGGGAGGGCUCGGUGACCAUCGACGCCUCCGAGACGCCGCGGCUGCUGGGCGAGGGCGUGCUGCUGGGCGACGUGGUGGAGGAGUGCCGCGUGCGGCCCUGGACGCUGCGCACCGUGACGCCCUGCCGGCUGUGGGGGCUGCCGCUGCAGGACCUGCUGCCGCUCAUGCGCAUGUACCCAGCCAUCGGGCUGCUGGCGGCGGAGUACGUCAAGUUCAAGGUGGUGUACACCUACAACGGCGACAGGUGCGGUGCGGCCGGCGUGAGGACUGUAGGGUUUACGAGGAAACCCAGUGCGCGCUGCACUGUGCUGCGGGAGCAUUCUUGGCUUGAAGAUUGGGGGGGGGUGAUGAGUGCGGCGCAAAUGCAUGGGCAUUGCGGCGCUGGAAAGCGGCCAGCAGGCGCGGCGCUGUAAUGGCGAUGCCUCAGGAAUGCGUCGUCCUGACGGUGUAUGCGCUCGUGUGUGUGCCUGCCCCUCUGUCUGCUUCCUGCAGCACCGACGACCACUGGUGUGAGCUUGCGGCGGUGAUCGUCAAGUACAUGCAGGUGGGUGCAGUCAGUCAGUGUCAGGCGGCUUUCACGUCAUGCUUGCUGACCGGUAACUCCCCUUGGACAAGCCGAGAGCUGCUAGGCUGUAGCUCUGCUGCUUCCAGCAGUCCAGCGUGCAUGACUCAACUGCAUUACAUAUGCGCAGGAGCACGUGCCUGAUGACGAGGCAACCGAGAUGGUGGCCGAUUUGUUCAAGGUGAGCAGCACGGGCGCUGUGUUGCGUGCAGACUGGCCGGGCCAUCAGGGUCCAACAGACGCGAACAUGUGCACCACCUGCCUGCCAGGCCCACCAGCCCACACACAUGCCAUGGGACUCGUCCUAUCCUCCUGCCCCCUCAUGCCUACGCCCGCGCAGACCUCGGCGGAGGAGCAGACGCUGCAGCCCAUGCUGGAGCAGAUGCUGGAGAUGUGCGCCUCCCGGAACACCACCGGCGGCACCACCACCACGAUGCUGCUGCAGCAGGCCCGGUCCGGAGGAGGCGGAGGUGGAGGUGGUGGAGGCCAGGGCGGUGGAGGUGAUGGUGAUGGCGGGCCGCCAUCUGCACAGCCGCAGGUACCGUCGGCAAGCACAGCAUCUGCAUUUGGUUCCCCGGCGGCGGCCGCAGCGCUAGCGACGGCGCUUCAAGCGGUGGCGGCGGGGCAGGGCGCGGCAGCGGCGGGCCGGGCGGCCACCCAGGCGCAGGCGCAGGCGCUCCCGGCGAGGUCCUUGUCGCCGCCCGUGCGGCACACGACCGGGAACCUAGCAGGUAGGCAACAAUGCUCGUUCCGAUCAACAUUUUGGGCGUCCUUUUCGCACCUAGUGACAUGUGCUGCCCACGCUUAAUGUGCCCUCGGCCGCACUUGCUAAGCCCCGGCUGCAACCCGGACGCCUGGUGGUGGUGCAGGUGUGACCGGCAGCGGGACCGGCGGUGGCACUGACCUGUCACCCUUCGUCACCACGUCUGGUUGCGCCCCCGGUGGAUCAGCUGCUGCAGGCGCGGUGCAUUGCCCCGGCUGCCAGCGCUGCGUGUGCCCCAGCUGUGGGCAGGGUCUUGACACGCCCGGUAUCGUGGGCGUGGCGGCCGCGCCACAGGCGCUGGCGCCCGCCACUGCCGUUGGUCCUGCUGCCCCGCCUCAGCAGGCAGGCGUCACCAACCGACCCAACGCAGGGCCGGGGGUGCGGUCGUGGGCUGCGCGCACGGGGACGCUGCGGCGCGUGUCGAUUGGCCAACGCCCGGACGCGGUGUGGGCGAUUGACCGCAGUUCCAUGGACCGGCGGCAGCUUGGCGCCAUGAGCAUCAUGCCCAUGUUUGAGUAAUUUGCAGACAGCCAGUUCAUGCCAAUAACAUUGCGAUUAACGCACGUACAUGUUCCUGCAACAGUCAUGUGCCAAGCAGAGGCGUUGGGGGCUCUAGUUUAGCAGGCCGCUUUCUGUGUUGCAUGGUAACUCCGAGUGCGGUAGGUUCAUGCGAUGCGCUUUGCUGUGCCAGCGGGGGCUGUUUGCGUGAAGCCACAGGUGUCGCUUGACUGGAUGUGGGCUUGCAAGGCGGGGCUCCGGGUCUUGGGGUGCAUCUUGAAUGUGCGCAACGCAGCACUGGUCCAGGGAUUGUGAGCACUGUCUGAGGGAUGCGGGGUGUGUUGUAAUAUGUCCGGGUAGCGCCGCGUCGCGCCAGCAAUGAAUUGUGCAGACGAGGCCACGGAGAGCGCGUAGCGGUGUGCAUGUGAGGCGUGUGACGGAUGAAUGUAUGCAGGUGGGUUGUUCCCCCGCUGCCGUGUGCGUUGCGUGUAUAGACCGAAGCCCCAGGUGCCUUCAGAGCAGGGAUCGCGUCAUCCGGUCUGGGGCAUGCAUUGCGCGUAGGAGUGUGGUGACACCAAUGGGGCUGAUCUUGGCCGAUGCUGUGCGUGUCCGGUGCAGGAUUGUGCUUGGUGCAAAUACCAUGCGAGCCGUGUAGAGGUCCGGCGGAGGCCGAAGGGCUGUAGGCUCGCUGCCUAGACUUGGGCCCGCUGUUCGCAGUCGGUGGUGUAGGGGACCGGUGAUUCGGUGUUACGGUACACAACUGCUUCUGGCGAAACCCGACAAGCCGACAAAGCACAGGUAGCUUGUAACUCCCGUCCAUACCAGGAGCAGACUCUCAACUUUACCACCGUGUGAGGGGACUGAAAGGGAGGUUCGAGCAGGUCCUAAUCUGGGAGUCAUAGAGAAUGCUUAUGCGACUAACCCUAUCGGACGUGAAGGAUGACAUGGCUCGGGUGGCAUCCAGCAUCGCGUAGAAAUGCAGUCGAUACAGCGGAUUGGGCGGAACGGCAACAAGGCGUGUCGCAGCCCGCACGCAGUGUGUGUCUGCAUGAGCGGGUGCGGCUGGUGGGGGAUGUGUGGAUGAAAGCCAAAGUCUGUGUGUGUGCGGGGGAGGGGGGGGGUUGGCACUGGUUGGCGUGGGGUUGACCUCGUCGCAUCGCCAUGGUGGCUCAAUCGUGGCAGGUCAGGUAGCAUGACGGUGUCCAUAUAGAUUCGGGGGGUACUAUAGGCCGUGAAUCACAAAAUAGCAACAUACUGUCCUCGUUCUCGCGGCCAUGGCAUCUGCAAUCUUCGGGACGGGUUUCUUGCCGCUAGCGCUGUUCUUCGCUGUCGCCCUUGUACAUUACAAGUACAUAUAUGGUGGUUAUUCUGCUGGUUCGAUAAGUGCUGACGCACAUACGCCGGCCGUGUUGUCAAGUGAGGCGAGAGUCACGGGCGGGUGUCCAACCUGUCCCCCUUCCGACGCACCUACGACAGCGGGGUGGCGCCCUGUGUUUCCCCUCCUCGCAAAAGGACCACUUGCACGCCCCUCGCAGAUCUCUUCUUCCCAGAGCUUGAAACAGGAGUAGACCUGCAGUCUCGGUACGCCAGCCUCUUCCUCGAGACUGGCGCGUCCACUGGCGGCCUAUCUGAACGGGACCAGGACGCCGCCACCCGCAGUGCCUUGGCUGGAGGUAGCGCAGUUGGUAGCAACGGCAGUGACAGCGGCAAUGGCUACACCAGCGCUGGGGAAGGUGACGGGCGAAGCAGCUCGCACUCGCGUCUGGUGCUACUACCCGACCUGCACGGCGACGCACGGCAGGCGAGUUGCAUGCCGGAAGAUAGCAAUCAAUGGCCCACGCAGCCACGUGUGAGGUGCUACGUGCCUGAGCAAUCUGCAUGCUACUCUUCACGUGCCUGAUGCAUGCAUGGAAACAGUACCGCGUCAGUAUGUCAGCUCUAUGUGCACUCCGUUCGCAGGCGGCACGCGCCCUGCAGCUUGCCGGGCUGAUUUCGCCCAACUACACGUCCGCUGCAGCGCCGCAUGUGUCAGGCCUGCCAGAAACCUGGCACUGGGAAUGGCAGUGGACGGGCGGCGAUGCAAUGCUGGUGCAGGUGGGGGGGGGGGAUGCACACCUGGUGGACUCGGGUGGGCGGAUCAGGAUCAAUGGAGGGGUGGCCGUGAGGGAUGGCCGCCUGCCUGGCAUUGUGGUUGACAGCGGCUGAAAUCACCCGCUGCCACACCAUAUGUCACAGUACAUACAUGAUCGUGUGCCAGCACACAGCCGGAGCAGACCAGUAAUAGCUAGCACAUGCAUGCGCCGCUACAGGGGCGUGAUCCAACAAACACCUUUUCUGUGCGUAUGUGUGUGUAUGUGCACGCGCCGCGCCGUCCCCGCAGCUGGGUGACGUGGUGGACCGCGGGCACGACAGCCUGGCGCUGCUGGGGCUGCUCCAGCGGCUGGGGCAGGCGGCGGAGGCGGCUGGCGGGCGCGUGCAGGCGAUACUGGGUAACCACGAGCUGAUGCUGGUGCGUGUGUGCGGGCGGGCGGGCCGCGUGUGAGUGCGUGUGGCAUGUGGGCAGAGAAGCUGUGUCGCGAUGCACGCCCCCUCUCUGGCCGCCGAAUGCCUCCGCCCCAAACUGACACUUGGUGUGCUGAUGAGAAGGCUUGGCCCUUUACUCGGACAUAUAAUGGGCUGCUGGCUUGACUCCCCGUCCGCCUCAUAACGCCUCAUGUCGCCUCACAUCGCCUCAUUUCGCCUCGCUCCGCCUCGCUCCGCCUCGCUACUCUUCGGACCGCAGGUGCAUCAUGACUACCGGUCAGUACGGACGUCCGGGGAGGGGUUGUUCAUCCCAGCGGCCGCACGAGUCGUUACGAAAUGCAGCGCUGUGCAGUUCAAAGGCCCGGCGGGACUGCCUGCGGUCAUAUUAGCGAGCAGCCCGGUGCGCAGCAUGCCCCCCCCCGCGCUGCUGUCCACCUUGUGCUGCUACUGCUGGCCCACAUCGGCACAGGUACGUGUCUAGGGAGGAGCUGAGGGCGAUUGGCGCCGCCGCACGCCUGCCACCGCUGUGGCCGGGCGCAGGCGGCAGCGCCAGCGGCAGCAGCAGUGACGCACAUUCGGCAAGGGUUGGGGACGAUUCUCGCGGCGGCACAGGGACUUCGCGCGGUCUGGCCGGCAACUCGGCCGCAGCCGCGGAACAGCCGUCCGGCCACCACCUCCACUCGGUGCCGCAGCCCGACCCGACUGCAGAGCAGCAACAGGGGGUGGAGAAGGUGGCGCAGGUGGAGGCGGAGGAGGAGGAGGAGCGUUCUGAAGACGAGUCGCUGCGGGGUGAGCUGCCAGCCGGUCACCGGGUCUCCAUGCCUGCACCUGCUGCUGGCGAGCCGGGGCCGAGGCGGCAGCCGGACCACGACCGCGAGCUGCGACUUCGGCGGCUGCGGGAGUCAGGAUUGGCUGACUCCGGCCUCAGCGCUACUAAGACAGCCAGCGACAGAGCUAGCAGCAGUGGCAGUGCCAUCAGCAGCGGUAGCAGGAAUGGCGGCAGUGUCGCCACGCGGUGGCGCCAGUUGUUGCAUCAGGAACCGCAUCCCGAACAGCAGGAGCAGAAAGAUAAGCUUUUGGCGCAGAUGCGGGCGGGGCUGGAGCUGUGGCAAGCGGGUUUGGCGCCAAGCCAGCCGCUUGGCGCCCUCGUGAGGCGGCGCCCUCUGGCGCUGCUGGCUAAAGGGGGCGGCUGCGAGGUGUUGGUUGUGCAUGCGGGCGCUUUUCCUUGGAUGCUGACAGCGGUCGAGCGGGCUCUGGGUGUUGGGGAGCAGGGCGAUCAGCAACAGGAUGGGAACAAGGGAGGGGCAGGUGCAGGGACGGCGGCGACUGGGCGGCUGACGCCGCAGCAGUAUGUGGACGCAUGGAAUGCGGUGGCGUUAGAGGCUCUGGUGCACUGCGACGGCCGCUGGUGCCGGCACGGCGGCGAGCAGGCGGUGGCGGGUAAUGCGGGGCUCCAGGAAGGGUCUAGGAGCGGGAGAGGCGGCGAACCUGCAUCAGCGCGGUGGCGCUACCGGCGAGAGCUUGCAGGUGUGUGAGCGCGUGUGCAGACAGCGGUCUGGUCCAUGAUACUUGUCGUUGCGCGUGCGUCCCUGGUACAAUUUCCACCUGUCAUUCUGUGCCUUUCGUGGGUCGUUCUGCUCGCUUCUACUCGCCUGUGUCACUAAGCCCGGCAUGCGCUGCCUUUCGGACUCCAGAGCUGCUGUUGGGCGGUGAAGGCGCGGUCUGGAGCCGCCGCUACAUCCAGGCGCCAAAUGAGCAGGUGAGGCCGUCUGGAAACAUUGUAAGUGUGGUUGCCAGUCCGCAGCACGGGCUCUUCCUGCUGGGCGCCACAGCGCACACCGCCCUCCGAAUGUGCUGCCUGCCGCAGGUGUGUGCCGAGGUGGCGGCGGUGGCGGAGCGGCUGGGCGUGCAGCGCGUGGUGGUGGGGCACACGGUGCAGCGCGGCGGCCGGGUCAGCAGCAGGCAGGUGCAGGGGUCCGCAAGGGGCCAGGCCCAGCGCACGAUAGCGGAGAAUGACCUGGCCCAACCAUCGUGAACUUGCCUGCUGCACAGUUCCGCUGCACGGCCGGCAGGGCAAAGCAGAGCGCCCCCAUCAACCUCCAUUCCCGGCCAUGCAGGUGCGGCGGACAGCUUCUGAUGGUGGACGUGGGGUUGAGUCGCGCCAUCGCCGGCGAGAUGGCGGUGCUCACCUGCAGCAACGGUGUGUUGCGGGCCGUGUACGGCGAGGGGCAGGAGCAAGAGUUGUAGACGACUGGCACAACGCCUGCCAAGCAACCCCUGCUUUGCACGAUGACGGAUGAGCGAGUGCUGCCAUGUGAUGGCAAGGCAGGCAUGUUUGGUCGAGGAGCGGGCUACAUGAAACAGUCUCGACGUGCAGAUGGGUGCUCCCGUGGACGAGGCACGUAGCAGGGAAGGGCGUAGCGGCGGGUGCGCGGCAGCGUGGAUGCGGGGGUUGAAGAACCGGCAUGAUGGGGCAGCGCACUCGGAUUGAUUCUGAGCCAGCAGACGAGUGGCGGUUGUAACAGUACACAAGUGGUAGUAGACAUACAAUACCUUCACGAAAUUUGCGUCCUGAGCUGAAAUGCUUGCCGGGUCACGAAUCCUUCAAGCGCCACGCCGGGCGUGUGCGGGCGGCUGCAGCCAUGGUACGAUUAAGGAGUUUGCUGAUAGACACAAACUCAAGUCAGUAAUGAGGGCCGCAACCGGUCUUUCGUUGGGCGCAGGCAUGCCGCUCGCUUUGCGUAGUCGUGCUCGCUGCACGGUGCGCGUACGCGUGUCAGAGAAGGAAGCCGAAGCAGUAAGUCAUCAUGUGGGUCGAGCCUCCGGGCAGGCGUGGGCAUGAGCUUGCUCUCUAACGGCUGCAUGGGCAAACACAGAGUGCUGGCAAUAGGUAUACGCGACGCGGCAAAGCUACCCUACUGCUAAAUCGAUGUGGCAUGGCAAAAGCACACUGCUGCCGUGGCUCCGCCCUCCCAGAGCACAGCCCCGCCCCACCAGUGACCGUGCAACACCCACAGCUCCCGAAGACGCGCUGUGCUGCUUUAAGGGCCCAGCACCCAUCGAGUGCCAUCAAACCAACCUAUAGUACAAUUAGGUCUGGCAGCGCUGGUGUGCAGUGCUGGCACCAAUGCCAGUGCUGCCUGCUGCUGCUGGCCGCCGGUGCCUGACUGCGCUCUGCCCUGCCGCCUGCGCUGACACGGCAUCUGUCCUACAGGCUGCCUCAGAUAGUGUGGAAUCGGGGCUAGCGGCCAUCGCCAAGCAGAUCCUGCAAACAGAUCCCGAGGCGCGGGAGAGCCUGCGCCGCUACGAGGAGGCCGUGGUGAGCGCCGUGUGGGGCCGCCGGCGUACAUGGCCGCUGCUGGGGCAGUGGGCAGGGGCACUAGGGGAGAUGACGAGCAGCCCAGGGGCGCCGCCCCGUAGCUAGGGCCGCCGCUGCACGCGCCCUCUCCUGUGCAAUGACGAGAUAGAACCUACACACUCGCUAUGGGUUCCACUGCGGGCUCACAGCGCCUAACCACCACACGACCCUGCCUGCGCCUCGCCAGCCCGCACCUCCCCCAACACGAUCCCCAACCCACACCUCUGCACACACCUCCGCGCACACGGUAACCCCAGGUCCGGCUGGAGAAGGCCAAGGCUGCCAGCGAGGAGCUGGACCGCAUGUUCGCGGAGGCGCAGAAGGGCGCCGCCAUGUCGGACGAGCAGCAGGAGCAGGCGCAGGUGCGGGGUGUGUGUGCCGGAGGGCAGCCGGGCGUGAGACUGAUUGGGUGAAUGAGCAGGGGCAGUUCAUCAUGGAGCCCAACGUAAAGCCAAGAACCCGAGCCCACAGCGGUGCCAUUAGCUGUGGGGAUGGGCGCAGCAGCAGGACGGGCAGGCGGGCGCGGCGGAGCAGGGGCGGAGGUCAGAGGGGGAUUGGCGCGGGGUGCGGGAGAAGCUGCGAGGGUCUAUGGGAAGUUGCUGCCUACAUAAGAGUUGAAAGAACAUAUGCGCGCACGCCGCACACAUGAGCUCCGAUAACACGCCCUGGCCUCGUGAUGCUACCGGCCACGUUGCUACUUCCUCGACCCCGCAGCGGCAACGCGCCAACGAGGUGAUGGCUGAUGCGGAGGUGGCGGCGGCGGAGCGCAUGUUGGCGGCGGCGGAGUUGGAGUUCGCGGCGGCGCAGGCCGAGCAGCAGCAGUGGGCGGCGGCGGCAAACGACGUGAGUGUGUAACAGAACCUGAGAGAUGUGGUGGACGUUGCUGCACUGUGCCCUGCCGCCCCUGGCCUACCUCCUACCGCCCCGACCCAACCGUGUCCCAUCCUCGCCCCCGCCCUGCCUAUGUCACCACAUCUUGUCGCCAGGGCCCGGAGCGCAUUGAGUCGGUCAAGGCCGCCACCGUGGCCGCCACCGCCGGCCUGCUGGCGGAGCUGCCGCUCAUCACCCUGACCGCUGGCGGCGACACGCCCGCUCUGUCCUCCGCACUCAGCCUGCUGGCUGCAAUGGCCGCCUGCUUCCUGUUCGGCGUCACCUACCGGUGAGCCUGCACACACGUGUACGUGCCCCAUUGCGUGCUUGAGUUCCUGUGCGCAGGUGCACGUCUGCUGCGUGUGCUGCCUGCGUGUUCUUGUGUGCUACGGCGUGCCGGAGGCCAGGCCACCAGGCACCGCGCAAAUAGGGGAUGGUCCAGCGCCACAUACCCAGUUACCCACACCUCAUCCUUUUCAACGCGGCUGCUUGUACCACUGCUCUCGCCGCUUCCCCCGCCUCCCCCGCUGCCUCCACUGCCGCUGCAGGUACGCGGUGCGCUCCGACUCCUCCAACCGGCAGCUGCGGCUGGGCGUGGUGGAGGCGUUUGGCCUGGUGCGGGCGUCGGGCGCGGCGGACGUGCUGCAGGCCGGCUCGGCGGGCUCGCCCGAGGGCCCGCUGUCGCUGGCGGGUGCGGUGGGCCCGGGCGCGCUGUACGCGCUGGAGAGCCUCAUCCUGUUUGGAUUUGCGUCCGUGGCCGUGGAGGUGAGGCCGGGUGGCAUGCCUGCACAGGGCUGGACAGGGCUUGGUCUUGGUGGAUGGGCAGGUUUGUGCGGCAGGCCGCAACUUCAUGGGUAUUAGUUUGCAUAUGCCGUAGCAUCGGGCCCAUGUGAUCACGUCCAACCCAUGCAGUCUGACAAAAAAACUGCGUCGGCUGAGUGUCCUGUGGUUCCCCCCGACACCUUGCAUGCGUCUGCUGCCCGCACAGGCCGCCUUCAACGCCGGGUUCCUCAAGCGCUUCGGUGAGCGGCCGCAGCAGUGAGCGGGCCGCGGCGUCGCCAGGUUUUUAGAGGUAGCAGCAGCUGCAAUGUAGUAAUAUGGGUGUAGGUUGAGGUGUAGGUUGAGGUGUUGACGAAUCUUUGGGACCGCGCGGGAGUUACAGGGCUCAGCUCUGUGGUGACGUGAUGGGAGGCACGUGGAAAUGGGUGCAACGAGCGCACGCGGCAGGCUUCGUCGUGCCGCUGCGAACGAAUAUAUACUAUUCGGGCGAUUAGCACGCGCGUGAAAGUACAGCGUGUGAGGCGCUCGAGCGACUUGCUGGCAUGUGCAGUCCUGUGGGACGGCGGUGAAAGACGGUGAACAAUCGGAUGCAGUGUUUUGCGAAUGUGUUGCGAGUCACAAUACAAAGAACUUCUUACACGCGAGUGAAUGGAGGCAUAGUCGUGGGUGGCAAUGGCGAUUGGGGUGGGGGGGCUGCAGCAUAGGACGGGGUGCCGCCGCCACGGGCUGUGGCUGGCCAGGUGUCCAGGCCAUGACACAAACCUUAUUAAUGUCCGCACCUGACCGUCGUGUUUCUCGCUUAACAAUAUACUGUAUAUGCGUGCAUACAAAGCCGUAAUUUGGGACACAUUUACCUGACGACCUCGUUCAAUCAAGGGCUUGCGAACACAUCCUCGCAACAACCGAUUCGCGCUGUUAGCUGGUGGUACCUCUUGAUGGUGACGGCCCCGCUGCGACCCUCUUCUUUCUGGACCCAUAGGAGUGCAGCGACCGGGCCCCGCAGCAGUCACGCUGCGCGAGGGCCCGGCGGUCGACAACUAUUAUGUCCGCCUUUACGCGGAACUAUACCUAGAGAUGCACCGUCUGCAUAUGAUGUCGACACAAACGGGCGGCCGGCUGUGGCGGUGUCUGGUUCGCACGGGGUCGGAGAGAACGGGAACGGCAGCAGCACAAAUGGCUCGUCUGGCCUGUCAAAAAGCGACUACUCGAAGUUCGUGCAGUUCUUCCGGCAAGCAAGCCCAUAUGUGGAGGGCCACCGCGGGCGAACAUUUGUGAUCGUCAUUCCAGGCGUGGUAGGUCGCCAGCUGGCGUCGCGUUGUGCCAAGAUCACUUCUGACACUUGGAUGCGCCGCCUGCACGCAGGUUUCAGCGAAUCGGUCGCUCCUGCAGAGUAUAAUGUCAGACAUCGCCCUCCUGCACGGUAGGGUUUUGCUGGCGCCGGCGUGCUGCUCGCCGCAGGGGUUGCUUUGGAUCGGGCGUGCGAUGCCAAUGGAUAUCCUUGCUGCGCGCAGGCCUGGGGGUGCAGCUGAUUGUCGUCGCGGGCGUGAACCAGCAAAUCGAUGACAUGCUGCAAGAGCGCAACUUGACCCCUAAGUACGUUGGCGGCUACCGCAUCACGGACCGCGAGGCGAUGCGCAUCGCCAUUGAGGCGGCGGGGCAAAUCCGUACAACGUGCGAACAGUUCCUCAGCAAGGUGGGUCAGGGAGUGCAAAACCCUAGCCGUGCCAACCUGGCACGGCAGACGUGCGUUGUUUGCCCUACGUGGCGGCGCGGAGACCCGCUAGCACCGGUGGCGCACCUAGCGCGCCUUCGAACAACAGGCGUGUACAGCUCCUCUUACCCUUUCAUUUUGCCAUUUCUGUACGCGGGAGGGCAUGCGUUUUGACCCGGUGCCUCAUCAGCGCCGCCUGACCAAUCCCACCGCGCCGUGCAGGGCCCCGCCAUCCCCAUGUUCCGACGACACACCAAGGGCGACCGCGAAAUCCACUUCGAGCCGGCGCUGCGCGUCAUCAGCGGCAACUACAUCACCGCCAAGCGACGCGGCGUGCUGGACGGAGUGGACUUCGGGCUGACGGGCGAGGUGGGUGGGCGGGCGGGCAUUGCACCGCGGCGGGCUGGGAGUCUGGGGCACAGGGCUGGGAGUGGGAUAUGGCACGGCUUUGGGGAGUAGAGCACGCCAGACUGCUUGGAAAGGGUGGGAAUUGUCAGAAGAACGAGAGAGAAAGCCGGUUAAAGGGGACCGUGCAGCGCAAGGAAAGCUGCGGCCGGGACCGGGGCCGGGGGCUGUUGCUGACCUGGGGUGGGCGGAAGCAUGAUGGUGGCUGUGUGCUUGAUGAUCAGGAGCUUGGGACGAGGACGACAACACAUGGUGGGCUCAGCAGCGGGCACCUCCUGGUUAGUGACCGGGCGGCUGCGCUCGUCACGCACACGCACUGACUGCACGCCCGCCCGCGCGCAGGUCCGGUUCGUGCUGAAGGACGACAUCCGGCGGCAGCUUGACAGCGGCAACAUCGUGUUCCUGUCCAACAUAGGUCAGCCGGCGGGCAGGGGGGGCUUGGGCAGGCUGGGGACGGGCGCGGUAGGGAGCACGGUGCUGUAAAGAGCACGGGGCGGAGGAGGCGCAGGAGGCAGCGAGGUGACCAUGACUGCGCUGGGGGAAUGGCGGAGGGGGAACGGCAAAGUGCGUGCCCGCCUAGCUUAGGAGACGCAGCUUUUGAUAGUAGGACGCAGGGGUACGGCCGGCGAAUGGGCACUGGGCAGGUUCAGCAUGCACUGGACUCAUGUACGGCCGGCGCAGGGCGUGUAGUGGGCGCGUAGGGGAUAGCUGGUUGCGACCGUGUGGCUCGAGCUCGGCCCUGCCUGAACCCCUCCCGCCCGCAGGCUUCACGGCGUCUGGCGAGGUGCUCAACUGCAACACGUAUGAUGUGGGGCUGCACGCCGCCGCAGAGGUGGGGGCGGUCAGGGCCUCUGGCGCGCUGCUGCCGCUCACGGGUUCAUACCCCUGCACGCACAUGAGCCGGCCUCUCGCCUCUGCCGCUACACAUACAAAUGCUUUUCUCUUACAAUGCACACCUUCACCGCGCCUGCACGUGACCUACACGCCCUCUCCUCCUCCGCCACCUCCCCUGUAUAAUCCCCCGUUCCCCAUUCACUCGUGACCCCGCCCCCCCAUCCGCAGCUGGGCGCCGACAAGCUGUUCUUCCUGCACCUGGACGAGGUGGCGGCGCUGAGCCUGCCGCAGUGGCUGCCGCUGUCGGAGGCGCAGAACAUGCUCAUGGAGAAGCUGCAGGUGGGGCGCGGUGGGGCGUAUGGGGCGCGGGGAGCAGGGGGCAGGAUGGGAGAGAGGAUUGGACAGAGGGUGCAGCCGCGGGGUGCAGGGCAGAGGGCGGAGGAUGGGGACAGGAGCCAGGGCCGGAGCCGGGCCAGGUCGGUAAUUGAAAGGGCGACCCGGUCGCUGCAGCUUGCAUGCGCCAGAGCCCGGUCGAGUGAUGCGCAGCCGCUGCUGCUGCUGCCGCCCGCACCCGCCCUCGCUGCCGCGCAGAACUCCAUCAGCGCACAGCAGAUGGACGCCCUGCGCGCCACCAUGGACGCCACGCCCGCGGAGCCGGUGUCGGCGUACGGCGUGGCCACGUCGCUGUCGCCGGCGCAGCUCAAGACCUACCAGGUGGGGGCCGUGGGAGUCGUGGGGCCCUAGGGAGCGGAAGGCUGGCCCAGGGAAGGAGCUGCGGAGUGGAAAGCCUGGAGGGAGGGGCAAUACGGUCGUAGGGCAGGACCAACCUACCCCUUUCCAGCGAGGACGGGCCGGCCUGUGCUUUGGCACCACCAUACCCCCGACGUCACUGCCUCCCUUCUCCUCCCGCGCUGCCGGGCUUGUAUCGUGACCUGUCCUGCCAGGCCAUGAAGCGCGAGGACCUGGUGGUGGAUCUGGACAUUUGGAGCGCGCAGGGCUUCCCCACUGCCGUGUCCACCUGCGUUGUGGCCUGCUGCAAGGGUGAGCGGAGCGGGGCGGGGCGGGGCCGGUGCUGGAUCAGGGUGAUGACGAAGAUGCGAUCGGCGUGGAAGUGCACGCGGCUGGCUCGCUGCACCGCACAGCGCUGCGGAGCCGCUAUCGGCCCGCUGCAAGACAUCGGCCGCUGCCGCAGCCCUGCUGCGGGCCCCUUGACGCCGAGUCGCCGACUCACAUGUCUCCACGCGCCCGCCGCACCCCCCACCUGUGCAACCCCGUUUACCAGGCGUGAAGCGGGCGCACCUGCUGGACGCACGCAUCGACGGCGGGCUGCUGUUGGAGCUGUACUCGCGGGACGGCGUGGGCACCAUGAUCAGCGCCGACUUCUACGAGGGUGAGCACUGCGGGGGAGGGGGGGCGGGGGCCCGGGCGGCGCCUCAGAGGAACGCCGCGCUUGUGGGAGGUGCUGCGGGCUGGUCCGGAGUGCGGCCCGCGAGGGGUUGUUGGUGGCUUGUGCGCGCAACAGGUCGGCAUGGCACCAGCUGCGGCCUCCCACUGCUGCAGCGUCAUGCAAGUAAGCCCUGCGCUCUACACCUUCCUCCGGGGACCCCCUCUUUGUCCCCCUACCCCACCCCACCCCAGGCAUCCGCAAGGCGCUGCCUAACGACCUGGACGGUCUGGCUGCGCUGCUGGAGCCGCUGGAGAAAGCCGGCAUCCUGGUCAAGCGCAGCCGGGACGAGUUGGCGGACCUGCUGCCCAGCUUCACGGUGAGGCAAAGGCAGGGCAGGGAAGGACUGGCAGGGAGCAAAGGAGGGAGCUGACAGGGUGACACGCGUACGAGGACGGGGAGGCGUGUGAGGGGAGUGGGUUGGAUAGUCGUGACAAGCGAAACCAACCAUGCCGCACUCCAAGGCACGGGGAUUGAACGGGGGCUGACUGAGCACAGGGAGUAAGGGACAGAGGUAUCGGGCGGGGGAGGGGAGGGUAGCAGUCGGGUUCAUCCUAGUACACUGCACGCUGGAUCUGGUGGGGGAGUGUGUAUUGCAAACAGCGGCUGGAGGAAUACAAACUUAAUUAUACUCUAUACUUAUGCAUAGCCAGCUAGCUCGCGACACCACAUGCGGGCCUGGCGGUGCGGUUGACAGCAUGGGCAUUCGUGUACCCGCCUUCCGCCGGUACCCGACUUACGAACACCCCACCCCGGACCUGCCCGACUCGCUCCUCUGACUCGCAUCUUCUGCACUUCAAUCACACUUUCUGACAUCGCGAAAUCCUUGUAAUGCACUGCAACGAGUGAAUGGAGGGCGCGGCCGGGUAACGGUGAUGCCGAGUAUCGUCGGUGAGACAGGAAUUCCCCUCUUUCUCAUUGGGCCAGCAUUUGUCGGGCUUCCACCAUUAUAUAUCAAUUCACAUACCCCAUACAACUCAUUGUGACAGACGCAAACCUAUACCCGCCUCCAGAAGUACCGAGCGCACGACGCCGUGCACCGCUUGAUAAAUCCCUCUCGAGGUUGAGCGCCCUUCCGCCCAAUCCCCGCACCUGUGCGACUCGCUCUUCUGACUGCUGCACAUGAUUACACACUCUUGAUAUGCCGUACGCGCCUGCAGGUGAUUGAGCGAGACAACCGCAUCCUGGGGGCGGCGCUGCUGCUGGACCUGGGCCAGACGCCCGACGGCGUGCCGGUGGCAGAGGUGGGCGCCUUCUGCGUGGACCCCAUCUACAGGUGCGGCGCGGCGCGGCGCGGUGCAACGCAGUGCUGCUGCCACAGGGCAUGAAGGGAAGGGUUUGUGGGCGACAGGGGUGGGCGUGGCAGCAGGGGUAGGCGAAGCCGAAGGGCCAGUAGCGGUUGCGGGGCUCCCACGGGACCCGGUGUGCACGUCUGUAUGCCUCUGACAAUGCCGCGCUCCAUGUGUCCAUCUUGCCCGCAAGCGUCCGCGCAACCGACCUGAUCCCCCACGAGCUCCAUACUCCUGAACCCACAUUGACGCACACAGGGGCAGCGGCCGCGGCGACUCUCUGUUGGACUAUGUGGAGCAGGACGCCCGCUCGCGCGGCAUUGAGCGCCUGGUGCUGCUGACCACGCGCACCGCCGACUGGUUCGAGCAGCGCGACUUCCGCUGGCAGGGCGCGGCCUACGCCUCGGAGCUGCUGCCGCUGGCUCGGCGCUCGCGCAUCAACCCCGCGCGCAAUAGCCAGCUGUAUGUGAAGAACUUGGAGGCGCCGGCCGACAACCUGCAGGCGCCGGGCAAGCGCAUCGGGUUCUGAGGCGCCUGCAGAACAGCGGCGGCGUGCUUUGGUACAGCGUGCGGAAAUUGGGACGCUCGAGGUGGAGGUGUUUGUGCGGUGGGACAGUCGCAGCAUCGCGUCCAGCCACUGAAUUGUUGUGAAACGCAUUCAUCGUGCUGAUAGCAUUGUACGUGGGACGUGGCUCGCGAUGAGAGUGAGUGUGAUCGGUGACCUUGUAUUGCUGGCUGCGUUGGAGUUGGCUCCCCGUGCCCGGCCCAACUGCGCAGGGCCCCACGUCGAGGUGCGGCGAAGGUGGUGUCGCAUGAUGGGGGCGAAGAUUGUGCUUGAUGUAGUUGAUGGAGAGGAGCAGUUCCCGAUUGCCAGUUAUACCGUCUGGUGCGAUAGGACAGGGCAAGGGGCAGGUUGGCGUAGUCCCAUGCUGAUAUAGCUGAGUCCCGAGAAACAAGUUACGCCCAAUCUAGGCGCCGGUGACACAUGGAAUACAUCCCCCCGCGCAAACGAUUAUCCGGCCCCCGUUACCAGUACCGCGGUAAUCCAGAGCUGUUGCGGAAGGAAAACCGUGAACCAGGGGUGCCCCUGCCGUGAACGGAGCGCCCGAGGUUGGGACGAGCUAAGCUGUUUACUGUUGACGAGCGGGAAUGUUAUUGCGCGCUUCUCGUGCUCUGAGUCGCCCGGCCAGGCCACACGCCACAGCUAACACACUGUGCCCUGCGGGAGUGCUAGAAGAUUCGGGACGCGCGCACCUGCAGGGCACGUCAGCGCCCACCGUGAGCCACUGCAAGGAAGAUCCUCAGUAUUCAGUGAUACGAACAGAGUGGCAAAUAAAGAAACAAGGCCGGGCGACAUGUGCGCGAAACGGGGGGAGCAGGGCCGGGCACUGCCAGGCGCUAGUGGCGCUACACUUUGCAAAAUGGCAGUCAGUCUGACGCCGAUCCGCGGCUUAGGUGAGCAGCGCUAGCGUUUGCGGUGAGCCUUGCUCGGGGUUCCUCCCCUCCUUUAGUGAGGCGAGGAGCGUGGGGGUCAUUCGAGGUUCCCUCCUCGAGUGUGCGUACGUGUCUCGUGCGUUUAUGGAGCCCUGGCUUGCCCGUGGCUGUCAUCCCACAUGUAACCUCUAUUCGCUAGUGGCGAUAAGCAGAGCAUUUGGGCGUUAAGGCGCCUAGGCCCAUUCGGAGGGGUCUGUUCGAGAACGCAAUGAUGGUGUGCAGUGACAACAGCACGCUGGAGGCGCGGAGGCGUAGCUAAAGCUGGUGCCGCGUGCCGCACGCCUGGCGCCCGGCUGGGUAGUUGCGGCAACGGUGUGAUGGCGGAGCCACAAGGAGCCGGGCUCGCAAGGAGCUCCCAGAUGGCGACGACAGCGGGCUGGCUGUUAGCUGGGACGUAAUGGCCAUCAGACCCUGUCCAGGACGAGUUAACAGACACCAGGCCAGCGUGACGACAAGUGUUCCGCGGUCACGGGAAAAGGGGCUGAGCCCCUCCACAGUCUGAGGCCGAACAACCUCAUCGCCCGGACAUAGCCGGGGUCGGUUUCCACAGGCACAUACCGUACUGACGCUUGAAAUUUUAUCUCUAAUAAUUUUAGCGGUGCGCGGAGGGGCUGGUUUAUGUUUUUAACUUUUAUCCCGGGGGCCAGUCAGGUCUUGAAGUUUUAUGGGACGGAUGGCGGUGUGGCGUGCCACGCGUGGACCAGCUCUAACACAGCGUCAAAAGCCUUUCCUGUGCUUCGAAUGCAGCUAAGCAGCAUUCGCUACAACUUCCGACCCCAAACAGACCAAAUUCCAGCAGGCUUUGUCCCCAGACAUGUCCAAUUACGUCUCUGAACAUGUCUAGAAAUUUUAUCCGACCCCCUGGAAUUUGGCCCAUUUGCUCAGUAUUAGUUUUAUUUUGACGUUUUCGAAUAUAAUAAAAAAGAUUUCAAGCGUCAGUACGGUAGCCAAACCAGGUGCCUAGCAAUCGCGAUGCCACAGCAGAGCCAACUGUAGCCAGACGCAGCACAGUUGUCAACAGCCGCACUGCUUGUCAUGCCGCUACGGAUGCCCUGCCAGCCCCACCGCGGACCGCUACCUAGACACCGCCAGCCGGCUCCUCAGCCUGCGCGCUUGCGCCGCUUCUUGGGCGGCGCUGCGCUCUCCUCCUCCACGUGGCCUUUCCCGCCCCCUCCGCUACCAAGAUGCGCGCACGCGCCCCCGCUGCUGCCGCUGCCGCCGCCGCCGCUGCCGCCGCCGCCGCUGCCGCCGCCGCCGCUGCCGCCGCCACUGCCGCCGCUGCCGCCGCCGCCGCUGCCGCCGCCGCCGCUGCCACCUCCGCCGCCGCCGCCGCCGCCAGUCUGCAGCGAUGCAGGUCGCUUGUGCCCCAGCAGCAUCUCCACCAGCGCGUGCCGGAUGUUGGUUGCGGAGUUGACGUCACGUCCCUGCACCGUCGGGAGGGUAGAGUGAGUGAGUCCCACUGAGCCCAUGACUGAGCCGUCACCCAGCCGUCUCUCAGCCAUCACCCACUGAGCCCCACUGAGCCCCACUGAGCCGUCACCCAGCCAGCAAUCACCCACUGAGCCCCACUGAGCCGCCACCCAGCGACCCAUCCAUCGCCCAGCCAGCCGCCCGCCCACAAAGUGGACUCACCCACACCGUCCCGCAGUGGUUGCACACUUGGACUUAGUGAGCACGUAAGCCCCCCCAUGGUACGACCGCCUGCAGGCAGCGCUGCCCGUUGCCGUGUAAGCGCCGCCCGCACUUCGCACACACCUGGGGAGGGAGGGGGCAGGAGUACAGUGUGAACCUUGCUGGCUACCCGGCUACCUGUACCGUACACGAGCCCCAUCCUGUCCACCCGACCACCUGUCUACUCAUUCCAACCCGUCUGCUCUCAUCUUGCCUGCGAUGUGUAGAACUCGUCCACGUACACCACCAGGUGCGCGUACUUGUCCACCAGCAGGCGGAGCAGUGCCCGGUUUGGGCCCCGCCCCAACCUGCUGAUGCAACCGCCAUAGCCAGUGUUGGCGUUGCCCCAGCCAACAAUGACCUCCUCCUUGGGCCUUCCACCAGCCAGCUGCUGCGCCGUGUGCUCCAGCACCUGUACCCGUGGCAUUGGUGUAGCGUCAGCGCAGUGCAGUUGGUGUGGGUGCAUCUGCUGGUCCCUCCCCUCAACCCCCACCUUCUGCGUCCGCACAUGGACAGUCAGGCGCCACCGCCGCUGGCCCCACUGCCGGUAGAAACGGAGCAGAUGCCACAGCCCGUACUGUUGCACCGGCGCAGGCGCAGACCCGGCCGCCGCCGCCGCGUCCACGCCACCUCCAGAGUAGAGGUAGCGUAUUCGCCGCUCAUGGUCAGCUGCCGACGCCACCCGCGCACUGGGUAUCCCCGCCUGACAGCGCUUGAGCGCCGGCUGCUCCUUUAGCCGUGCCUGCAGCCACAGCCGACGGCCUGUCUGGCCUGUGCAGUGGCGGUAGCCAGCGCCAGACAGCCGGAUAAAGCAGGCGCGCUGCUGGCGGCGCCGUUCUGUUGCGGCACGCUGAUGCGUGUGCUGGCGCGUGCCCCGCCACCCUCGCCUCUUGCCCUUCCACCUCCCGCCCCCCUUGCGCCGCCACCUCCGUUUCUGGCCCCGCCGACGCCGUCGCUGCUGUCGCCGCUGCCGCCGCUGCUGCCGCUGCCAUCGCCGCUGUUGCCGUCGCCGCCGUCGCUGCAGUGGGGGCUGGGCAGGCCCAGGAGCCUGGCCAUCUGGGCCACGCCAGACGUGCGCGGCUCGUGGCCGGCCACUGUAGCUGUGCGGUGAGAAGCCUGGCAUUGACGAAAACUGAGGACCAACCCUGAACUACGGUCGCCCACAACUCUGCAGUUAUUUAUACCGUAUUGGAUAGCUGAUUUGAACGCUCUCGUUGACUACUUCCCCCUUCAGGGAACAAUUCCAGGGAAGACACAACCGGAUUAGAGCAUCUUGGGAGUCAUCUAGCGAGGAUAGCACAGGUGGGCUGCAAGAACCCGGUCUGAAAGCCACACAGGUGGGCUGCAAGAAUCCGGUCUGAAAGCCACGAUGCCAUACGCUGUUACCACAGGCUCUGGCGAACGGGUUACAAGUUCAUCAAGCUUCAGUUUUAAUCCAGUUCUCACGCAUACGAUUCACUAUUGUCCACCUGCAGUGUUCCGGAUCUGGAACCACACAAACGAUUACUGCGACAUACCGCCUCAUGUAUUGUUCGCCGCACGCGCGGCGACAAGCUUUCACCUACGAACCUUUGCGCCCCUCGCGCGUCUGCGGGCUACCAUAUGGGCCAGCACCGGGCACAGCAACCAAACUUAUUUGUAGUAUCACAGCAAGGGCUGGCGGGCCAUGCCGUUGUCUAUGCAACAAACCGCUCUGGCAAACAAGGAGGUGGCUGCCUUAGGGAGGGAAAAGGGCUGAGCCCUCCCCUCCCGAGUCGUUAUCAACCCAGCCACCUUGACUGGCAAAAAAAUGUCGGUCCAUGCAUACUCCUAUGUAUUAAUGUAUGCGAUGGGGAAUGCAAGAAGCUGACAAUGCAUCACGUGAACCCUCAACCUCCCCAACGUGGGUGCAGGGCUCACAAGACGCCGUGUCCAAACCGAGGGUCAAGAGCUCCGCGGGCGAGAGCCUCAAAUGCUCACAAGAUAUCACGUCACCGCUCUUCCCUACCGCCCGCAUCACACCACGUCCAAGCAACUAACACGCUCGUCCCGGUUCAUUUGAUGUACGCGGUCCGUGCCUGUAAUGCGCAACCACUAUGGUAGCUUUACCGCCCGCCAGCAGGUGCCGCCGUGGGCCAGGGCUGCACCUGGAUGGUCGUGGCAGCGUACGGCUGGCCAGCGGGCACGUAGGCGCGGCUGCUGCUGUUGAAGCCAGUGGUGAGGGCAGAGUUGUUCUGGUAGGUCGUGAUGGCAGCGUUCAUCUGGGCAAUCAGCAUCGGAGGGUCAACGUAGCCGAUGUUCUUGGUGUUGAGCAUGGCGGUCAGGGCCUUGGUCUGGGAAGCGAUGGUGGCGUUCAGGUACUUGUCGAAGUAAGCCGGGCCAAAGGUCUUGUUCACGGCGAUGUUCUCCUUGGUCAGCUGGGCGUACAGGGUCACCGUCACGUUCUGCAUCGGAAACAACAGGGACAAGUGGGGUUCAGACGGCGGGCACGGAAACAGGCAACGCACUUUUGUCUCGCGAAUUAAUAGCGCUUGGGUCGAGACCCCGGACCGGGGCCUCCGGCUUUCACACGCGUAGGAAGUCGCGCAACGACCGGGACAUUCAGUGUCGGCUGAAACAGUAUGGACACGGGAGCCCGCAACAUGACUUAACCGGGACUCCCAACAGCCGCUUCCCGUUUAAACCUACCGUCAUGCCCUUCUUGUACUUGGCGAUGUCCUUGGACAUGGUCAGAGACGGCGAGUAGGCGCCGUACGCGAAGAUGGCAGCGCAGAGGAAGCCCGACACAAUCAGGGUAAAGAUCCAGGCAACGACCUGCUUGGCGAACAGCUUCCAGUUCACGCCGCUGCGCAGGUCCUCGACCAGGCCCACGCCCAUCUCAGCGCCGGUGAUGCACUGGGUGGUGGAGAUGGGCAGGCCGUACACGGAGGCCAGCGACACGGUGAACGAAGUGCCCAGCUCAGCCGAGAAACCGCGGGACGGCGUCAUCUGCGAACCGGGCAUGAAACGGCAUGCGUUACAAGGGCAAGCUAGGGAAAUGCAGGCACAUUUGAAGAGGGAGGCUCGCACAAGGCGACAGCAUGCGUGCCCCGCCCAUCCGGACGUGUCAAUGUGCUGGGCAUUCAUAGCGUUCCAGGUCCCAAAAGCGUGCCCAUUCCACCCCCCACGCACCUUGGCCAGGCCCACGCCCAGAGUCAUCAUGAUGUUGUAGCCGUAGGUAGCCAGGCCCACCACAAUGCCGGCGCCGCCCAUGGCCAUCACCCAGAUGGGGGUGUCGCCGUUGGACGUGAUGGUCCAGAAACGGUACACGUACCAGAUGCCGGAGAAGGGGCCGACAGCGUUGGCGACAUCGUUGGCUCCGUGCGCGAAAGACACGGCGCAGGCAGAGAAGACCUGCAGGUACUUGUACACCUGCUCGGUCUCGGGGGAGAACACCUCGGCGGCAGCGUGCAUGUCGUGGAUGGUCUGGUCGUGCUCCACGUGCUGCGCGCGGCAAGGGCACCAGGGAGGUCUCGCGUGAAUACACUGGCAAGUUUGUGCUCGGGGUUUCGGGGUCUACACCAACCCACCCAGCUCCAUACCGUUCACUGCCGAAAUGUCCAGGACCCACCUCGUGAAUGUCGACGUUCAGGCCGCGGGUGGCAGCCUUCUUCAUCGAGUUGAAGAUCUUCAUGGCCUUGGAGGUGGGCUCAGCCUCCACCUCCUCCUCCUUGGGCUUGCCGGCGUUGGCCUCGGCGUCAGCAGCCUUCUGGGCAGCCCUGCAGAGUCGAGCAUUCCCAAAGUGUUAGCAGUUGCUUUGCCGCAAGCAUGUCCUGCGACUAUGAAUACCGGUAUGCAUAUGCAUGGCGCUCCUGACGGCACACGGACACAAGACGCACGGCAACGCAGCACCUAGCGUCAAACGCACCGGUCCAUGUCCUUGGUGACGGCACGGCGCAGCAGCCACAUGCCGGGGAAGAUGGCGAGAAGCAUGCAGCCUGCGGGUCAAUCCGUGGGGUUACAUUCAUGACUAAUCAGGGAAGUCGUACACGGGCCACCUGUGGCCUCGGGUGGGUCAAUCCCAAGCAAUGGUUGUCCAAAUAUCCCGGUCGUUAGUGUCAUAAUGCAACCCAGUCAGAACCGCAGACGACUCUUAACGCUUACCAGCAGUAAUGCACGCAGCCACCCAGGCGGCCUUGUUCGAGUCCCAGUGAGCCACGUUCUUGGCUCCCUUGUAGAUCACGAAGAAAACUGUUGGAACAAGUCCAUGCACGCAAACCGAGCGUUAGCGGAGCGGACACCUGGCAUGUAUCCGGUUUUGGCAUCAGGCGCCUCCGGCCAGAACAAUUGCUCGUCAGACCCACGCCACUGCAACACACAAUCGCACGCCCGGCGAUGACUUCGGCAACCUGCAUCCCUCCAAGCCCUAUGCAAAUGUACGUGCAAUUCCAGCACCAACGGCACCUUAUGAGCCCGUAACUGAUCUCCAGCCACCCACCGUUGAUGAACACGGUGACACCAACCAGCAGGGGGUACAUGUAGAUUGCCAGGUUGGUCGAGUUCUCGCGGCGGAGGAUGCACACGCGGUUGAGCCAGAAGAUGAUGGCAGACGCAAUGCCUGCAGCAAGGGAAGAGGGUUGGGUGCACGAGUGUGUGAGAAGCAGUGCACGCAAUCGUAAUGGAAUAAGCAACCGAUCCAUGCAUGACAGACGAAGCCGACGUGCAGCUGCGGCAGGAAGAUGAGUACAGGUUCCAGGAACGCAGGUCUUGCCCCGACCCAUGGCGAGCCUCACUAAUUUGUGAGUUCCACGACACCCCACACUCAGGCUGAACGAACACGUACACGCCUGUCUUGGCAUAAGACAGUGCACUCACCCGACAUGAGGGGCGACACGAACCAGGAGCAGAUGACGGGCACCAGACCCUUCGAGUAGGGGAAGGCGUCCAUGUGGUCGUUCCACACCACGGCGCCAGAGCCACCCCACACCAGGGCAAAGCCCAUCACCGCGCCGAUGACGGAGUGAGUGGUGGACACGGCCAGGCUAAAGUAGGUAGCGGUGAACACCCAGGUAGAGGCGGAAAUGAGCGCGCACAUCAUGCCGUACGCGAACAUCUCUGGGAGGUCCUGGAACGCGGUGGGGCGAGCGAUGGAGCCAGCGAUGGUCUUGGUCACCUCGCCACCCAGGCCGAUGGCUCCGGCGAACUCGAAGACGGAAGCGAUGAGGCAAGCCUGCUUCAGGGUAAUGGUCUUGGCGCCGACGGAGGUGCCGAAGGCGUUGGCCACUGUUGGGGGUAGGGGGUUGCAGGUCGGGUUAGUGCCAGGAUAUACACUUGCAUUGGGCUAGUCCGUAAGCGGAGCUGGUUUCCGUGUCAGUGGCACCCUGUUCCACCGGAAUCAGGUCAAGGGACCUGAAGCUGAUGCUCACCAUCAUUGGCACCGAUGCCGGCGGCCAUGAUAAAUGAGACAAUGAAGCCCACAAUCACCAGCCACAUGUAAUCUGCAUCCAGAUGCAGCAGAAGAAAAGAGCAGUGUUGGUAGGCGCAGGAGUUGCGUUGGGGCGGCCCAUGGAGCUAUGGCUACAACAUUAUGCUGGCAAGACCUAGCAUUACGAUGCGCCUACCUGUCCAGUACUCCGGCGGCAUCUGCGGGCGGGUAGGAACAUGAGCGCGGGCAGAGGGGCAAAAGUGAACAGCGAGGGCGAGGGAAAGCAACAGGAGGGAAGGAGGUGCGGCGCUGCGAAGGAGGUGCGGCGCUGCGGAAGAAAGCCAAUGCUAGGCAAAACGCUGACUACAAUAUCGAGUCCACCAUCAAGCGGCUGCCCCAUAAGCAAGUUCGUCGGAGAACGUGAUGCUGAUGCGGCGCAAGCAAUCGGUCACGCUCGGCGGCUGAAGUCAUCGCAAGCCGAACAGACAAUAACGGCCUGAUGCCCGCUGCAACUCUAGUGUUACGCCACACCACCGCAGCGCUGAAACGGGAGUGAACAACCCCACGGGUGUCAGUCCACUUUACGUCUGUCCUGGCCACCCACCUUCGCUGGACUGUCGGUCGCUUAAACAGCCCGUCAAGGCAGGAAGGUACUCUAGAAAGAGAGAACAGGCAGGCUCAGAGCAGGAGUGUGUGGUCGUCGAAGGUCCACCUUUACGGCUUGGCGAAGCAGGUUGUGGCAAAGUCUCUUAAUUAUGUCAAAGGUUGCUCACACACGCUUUAUGCGGCAGCUGAAAUCCGGCGAGAGGCGGUUUCGCCGGAAUUUCGUCAUCAUGAUGAUUCCAAAGGAAUCAAGUUGCUUUUUUGCGGAACAAGCUUUUCACAAGCUUUUCACAGGCGCAGCAUUGACUUUGUUAGUCCUGUCAAAAAUUUUGCAUUCCGAGGUGAAGCACCUCGGAAAUUCUCUGUCUGACAGAGAAGUCUACGAAAUUCUCUGGAGUAACGCAAAUUAAUGCACGUUUUAGAAAACAUACGAUAUCACACAUGCAUCAAACUGGGACGCGACGAUGUCCCGAAACGCUGGAUUUCAACCUUCCCACUCAGAGCAGAAAACGCAGUCAUGGCCUCUGCGUCAUCGCCGGGAAACGAUACUAAAUGCAAUUCAUCAUGAAGAACUCAAACAACUCAAUAUCAGAACAAACCCCCCUCGCAUCAAACUGAAGACAGAGUGCCGCCAUCCGCCACGGCACGCCAUACAAGUCACCGUCAAUGCAGUGGGUCGGCGCCGCAGGGCUUAUCCGUGCGGCGUAGAACUGUUUGGCGGGCAGGUUGGCACGGGGUGGAGCGGUUGAACCGGUGGUGACAUUGAGCCGCGGUGACGAUGCUCGAGGUAGUCGAAGUAGCCUGCGCGUCUCCAUACAGCUGCAGCUCCACAUGGGCGCAAAUGUGGCAUAGCAAGGGGCAGGCACGGCAGGCGGCACGUCAAUGGCACAGACCCGCAGGGAUGCGGUGGGACAGGGUGUGCGAUGGGACAGGGGAAGGGCACGGGGUAAGGGGCAGGUUGGCAGCCCCGUAGAGUUCAGCGUAUUCCCAAAUGGUCGCGGAAUGGGACAUCAGGCGAGACAUAUCAAGAUGGCCGCAUCAGCUAAGAUUCACAACUCACCUGUCCCGGGAAGGUAGCAUUCAUCACGGGCAUCCAGCGAGCGGUGUCGGUCUUCAGGUUAUGGAUGGACUGCAAGGCAGGCCUGCCGUGCAGGGGAGUCAGGUGACAAGGGGAACGUUGGGCGCGUCAGUUGGACGAAACACAUGUGCUGCGCCCAAGCGGCCCCGCUUCCAUACGGCAUGCAAUACGUAAUGCGCGAAUUGCCUUUUAAGGAGCCAAUGCGUGUCAUACGGUAAGCUAAGAACCCAACCACAGCAGGCCAAGACUUACGAUAUCAUAGUGGAUGUCCUUGCUAUUGGCCAGCUCCAGCACGUCGGGCGCCGGUCAACAGGGGCGCCUGCGGUUCAUUAAGUGACAAUGUAGGGGCAACCGUAUGAAGACGGCCAAGGGUCGAAGGGGACUGAAGUGUGCUUCGGCGAUGGUGGACACGCAAGGCCAUGGGCAAACCGUGUCCAGGAAGCCACUCACCGUAGGCGUGCACACAUAACACAAAAUAGCAAAACUGCAGUAUACGGGCAAACCGUGUCCAGGAAGCCACUCACCGUAGGCAUGCACACAUAACACAAUCAAGCGAAACUGCAGUACGGUAUACAUGCUUAGGAACCAUGCAAGUGAACCAGAAGACAGAAGUCCAAACAAUGUUUACAGUAUUAAUCAUGCAUCGGUGUUUCCCGCACAACAAGAAAGCACUCGUCAGGUGGGAUCGUAAAAGUGUGCAAGCAGUAUGCAACAAGUUCCCUACACCGACUACAGGCUGCCACUGUGCCAAACAACAGUGCAAGCCUCACAGUGCAAGCCUCACAGAGCCUGCCUCACAGAGCCUGCACAGCAACCACUCUGUCAGCAAAGAGCCGUAUCUCAGUAUCUAGUGGCAGCUUAGCAGCCUUAAGCCAGCACCACACCAUCCUGCAGACCGCGUCCUCUACGUGCCCGCACGCGCAGUAGUCCUGGUUUUCAUGGUCAGUCACGUUCUCAAUGAUUUAUUCUAGGAAUGCAACAGCCUACCGCCCGCCAGCGGGUGCCGCUGUGGGCCAGGGCUGCACCUGGAUGGUCGUGGCAGCGUACGGCUGGCCAGCGGGCACGUAGGCGCGGCUGCUGCUGUUGAAGCCAGUGGUGAGGGCAGAGUUGUUCUGGUAGGUCGUGAUGGCAGCGUUCAUCUGGGCAAUCAGCAUCGGAGGGUCAACGUAGCCGAUGUUCUUGGUGUUGAGCAUGGCGGUCAGGGCCUUGGUCUGGGAAGCGAUGGUGGCGUUCAGGUACUUGUCGAAGUAAGCCGGGCCAAAGGUCUUGUUCACGGCGAUGUUCUCCUUGGUCAGCUGGGCGUACAGGGUCACCGUCACGUUCUGCAUCGGAAACAACAGGGACGAGUGGGGUUCAGACGGCGGGCACGGAAACAGGCAGCGCACUUUUGUCUCGCGAAUUAAUAGCGCUUGGGUCGAGACCCCGGACCAGGGCCUCCGGCUUUCACACGCGUAGGAAGUCGCGCAACGACCGGGACAUUCAGUGUCGGCUGAAACAGUAUGGACACGGGAGCCUGCAACAUGACUUAACCGGGACUCCCAACAGCCGCUUCCCGUUUAAACCCACCGUCAUGCCCUUCUUGUACUUGGCGAUGUCCUUGGACAUGGUCAGAGACGGCGAGUAGGCGCCGUACGCGAAGAUGGCAGCGCAGAGGAAGCCCGACACAAUCAGGGUGAACACCCAGGCAACGACCUGCUUGGCGAACAGCUUCCAGUUCACGCCGCUGCGCAGGUCCUCGACCAGGCCCACGCCCAUCUCGCCACCGGUAAUAAUUUGGGUGGUGGACACAGGCAGGCCGUACACGGAGGCAAUGGAGACGGUGAACGAGGUAGCCAGCUCAGCGCAGAAGCCGCGGGACGGCGUCAUCUGCGGAACAGGCAUUGUAGGGGGAACAAGUGCCAAGGGUGAGCUGGAGAGCGCCGGAAACUUAUGCUCGCAAGCAUGACCGCUCCUACUAUCAAACCCUGCCACUGCGCCAUACAUGAGCAGUGUCCACGCGCCCACAGCCUGCUGCCUUUGCAUCAGCGCACCUUGGCCAGGCCCACGCCCAGAGUCAUCAUGAUGUUGUAGCCGUAGGUAGCCAGGCCCACCACAAUGCCGGCGCCGCCCAUGGCCAUCACCCAGACGGGGGUGUCGCCGCUGGACGAGAUGGUCCAGAAGCGGUACACAUACCAGAUGCCGGAGAAAGGGCCGACAGCGUUGGCGACAUCGUUGGCUCCGUGCGCGAAAGACACGGCGCAGGCAGAGAAGACCUGCAGGUACUUGUACACCUGCUCGGUCUCGGGGGAGAACACCUCGGCGGCAGCGUGCAUGUCGUGGAUGGUCUGGUCGUGCUCCACGUGCUGCGCGCGGCAAGGGCACCAGGGAGGUCUCGCGUGAAUACACUCGCAAGUUUGUGCUCGGGGUCUCGGGGUCUACACCAACCCACUCAGCUCCAUACCGUUCACUGCCGAAAUGUCCAGGACCCACCUCGUGAAUGUCGACGUUCAGGCCGCGGGUGGCAGCCUUCUUCAUCGAGUUGAAGAUCUUCAUGGCCUUAGAGGUGGGCUCAGCCUCCACCUCCUCCUCCUUGGGCUUGCCGGCGUUGGCCUCGGCGUCAGCAGCCUUCUGGGCAGCCCUGCAGAGUCGAGCAUUCCCAAAGUGUUAGCAGUUGCUUUGCCGCAAGCAUGUCCUGCGACUAUGAAUACCGGUAUGCAUAUGCAUGCGCGCGCAUCGUCUCAGACCCUACAACAAAUUGAACACAAGCAAUCUGCACAAUCAAGCAGACAAACUGAAGAAGCACAGUGCCUCCCGUAAUGUACUCACCGGUCCAUGUCCUUGGUAACGGCACGGCGCAGCAGCCACAUGCCGGGGAAGAUGGCGAGAACCAUGCAGCCUGCGGAUCAGUUCACACCGACACAACUUUCAAUGGCUAUUCUCGGUUGCGUGAAGCCUGUGCAUUGCAGUUCCUGACACUGGCACGUGAAGUGCCCAGCUUGCCACCGGGUGGCACACAGCACCACAGCAGGUAUUCGCACCAGUGCUUUGCUCACCGGCCAUGAUGCACGCAGCCACCCAGGCGGCCUUGUUCGAGUCCCAGUGAGCCACGUUCUUAGCUCCCUUGUAGAUUACAAAGAAAACUGUGGGCAGGCAACAGAGGCAAGAUGAAACGUGACGAACACGAGCAGUUCCUCAAUAGACACUAUCGCCUCUGUCACUUGUGGCAGUCAACAGACAGUCAACUAGAGGGCGUGCUCUCGACUAUCAUACUGGUUGAUACAUUGCAAUGCGCGCACAGUACUGCUGAGUCCCGGCAAGACCACCAUGCCGGCUAGAUUCCUUGGGUGUUGCAUUGUCUACCUCCUUCCAGCCACCCACCAUUGAUGAAGACGGUGACACCCACAAGAAGGGGGUAAAAGUAAAUUGCCAACUGGGUUGAGUUCUCGCGGCGAAGGAUGCACACGCGGUUCAGGCUGAAGAGAAUAGCAGCAGUAAUUCCUGCCGCAAGGAGGAAGGAAUAGUUGGUUAGAUAUGUGAGAAUCUGGGGGGACACACUAAAAAGCAACAUUUAGGCCUGCUGCAGGAUAGUGAAACGAGGAAACCAUUACUCAGGUCGGAAUUGCUUCGCACUUACCCGACAUGAUGGGCGACACGAACCAGGAGCAGAUCACGGGCACCAGACCCUUCGAGUAGGGGAAGGCGUCCAUGUGGUCGUUCCACACCACGGCGCCAGAGCCACCCCACACCAGGGCAAAGCCCAUCACCGCGCCGAUGACGGAGUGGGUGGUGGAUACGGCAAGGCAGAAGUAUGUGGCAACGAACACCCAGGUAGAUGCGGCAAUAAGCGCGCACAUCAUGCCGUACGCGAACAUCUCUGGGAGGUCCUGGAACGCGGCGGGGCGAGCGAUGGAGCCAGCGAUGGUCUUGGUCACCUCGCCACCCAGGCCAAUGGCACCGGCGAACUCAAAGACGGAAGCGAUGAGGCAAGCCUGCUUCAGGGUAAUGGUCUUGGCGCCGACGGAGGUGCCGAAGGCGUUGGCCACUGUUGGGGGUAGGGGGUUGCAGGUCGGGUUAGUGGCAAGGCACUAGGGCAAGGGUUACUGGUGCAAUAUCUACAUGGAGGUAAGGUCCACAUUGUUGCGGACCCAACACUCACCAUCGUUAGCACCAAUACCGGCGGCCAUAAUAAAUGAGACAAUAAAGCCCACAAUCACCAGCCACAUAUAAUCUGUUAGGCAGGUGGCGUUGACAAUUGGAGGGAGGAGCAAGGGGCAGAUGAUGGGGUACCGUAAGUUUGGUUCUGAAGGUGGAACGGGGCAGCAGCACGGCGCUUGCAGUGAUGGCAGGCCCAGCACUGCUUUCGCAACGUCAUGUAAUUCCAUUUUACUAGUCCCAAACAUUGCGCUUACCUGUCCAGUACUCCGGCGGCAUCUGUGGGGCCGACCAAAGAAAAAGAAGGGAAGUGGCAGGAGGGGGCGUGAGCCGAGCGUCACAGCAGUCGGCUGACUGGCCCCAGGGAGCUGGGCUAUAUAAGGUGAGAGUGACCAGGGCUUCCUUUGUUUCAAUCAACCUAUUGAGUAUGUCUUUGUGGGUUCCGUUCCUGAGCGGACAAGUGCGCAGCAAGCACGGAGUGUAGAGCAUGGACAUCCCUGUAUUUGCAUGGCGGGCACACGGACGACUAGUCCGCGCCAGGCGACGAGCGGACAUACCUUUGCGAGAGUUGUCGAUCCAAAACCCCGUCAGGGCGGCAGGUGCUGGCUGGCCGGGCGGAAGGGCGCUCAACCUCAAGAGGGAUUUAUCAAGCGGUGCACGGCGUCGUGCGCUCGGUACUUCUGGAGGCGGGUCUAGGUUUGCGUCUGUCACAAUUAGUUGUAUGGGGUAUGUGAAUUGAUAUAUAAUGGUGGAAGCCCGACAAAUGCUGGCCCAAUGAGAAAGAGGGGAAUUCCUGUCUCACCGACGAUAUUCGGCAUCACCAACGUUACCCGGCCGCGCCCUCCAUUCACUCGUUGCAGUGCAUUACAAGGAUUUCGCUAUAUCAGAGUGUGUGAUUGAAGUGCAGAAGAUGCGAGUCAGAGGAACGGUCGGGCAGGUCCGGGGUGGGGUGUUCGUAAGUCGGGUACCGGCGGAAGGCGGGUACACGAAUGCCCAUGCUGUCAACCGCACCGCCAGGCCCGCAUGUGGUGUCGCGAGCUAGCUGGCUAUGCAUAAGUAUAGAGUAUAAUUAAGUUUGUAUUCCUCCAGCCGCUGUUUGCAAUACACACUCCCCCACCAGAAGCAGGGUGGGAUGAACCCGAUUGCCUCGCUCGCCCUCCCUGUUCAGUCAUUCAGCCGCUAUACAAUUCCCGGUCUUCAGAGUGCGGCUUCGUGCAGCGGUUGGUCACGACUAUCCAACCUGCUCCCGUCACGUGCCUCCCCGUGCUCGUAUGCGUGUCGCCCUGUCAGCUCCCUGCUUUGCUCCCUCCUAGGCCUUCCCUGCCCUGCCUGUGCCUCACCGUGAACCUGGACAGCAGGCCCGCCAGCGCGUCCCGGCUGAGCUUAACCAGGAUGCCGGCUUUCUCCAGCGGCUCCAGCAGCGCAGCCUAGCAUGCAUAUAAUGUUAGCAAACGCUAGCAAACAGUGUACAGUAUACGAUUGUGUACCUUAACGAGUCCCACCUGGCUAGGUGCAUUCACUCGAGAGCCUUGAUCCUUGACAACGCCUGCCGCCGAAAGCAUUGUGCAGCCACAUGCGCAUCCAGGCCCACCAGGUGUACAGCUACACUGACAGCCUGUGCUCACGGGUGGAAGCAUGGAGGGGAAGAGCGCAUGUCAGGUGUGCGGGACAGGUUCGUCCAGGACAGGCGACAGCAAGCCAGCAAAAUGCAACACAGUAUGGGCGGGGCACAGCACCACCACAGCGCACAUGUCCAGGAGGCACAUGACUUGCCUGUGGUUCCUUGAUCGCAUCGUUGCAUCCAGGCACAUGCGACCGCGCACACACAUGUUAGGCAUUGAACACAUAGUCUCUCCCUGUGCAGUGACUGCACACACAAGCCUGACGGACAGCGGCGGUUCAGAGAGCAACCGUCCUUCACACUUGCAUUGCUAAAAUGCUGUGCGCUAGUGUCUUCACCUCUUCGCCCCGAUAUCUCACGGACGGGACUGAUUGCCACAGUGAUUACAAACAAGUGUCAGGAACAGUCGUGCACAAUACCCCACGCAUCAUCAAAGAUAUCCCAGCCCGCUAUCCAGCCCCGCCUAUCGUAUUUCUAGCCUAUGUAUUGCCUGCACGCGUUAGGCUCGUUGGGCCCGCUCGCAUUCGUAAUCACCGGUAGCGAUGAUCGUACUCGAAUUCAAUGUCAUUCAGUGAGUCAUGAUAGGCGAUUGAGUUCCAUCCUGCUCACAAGGUUGCAAGUCGUGAUGGCACCAGUCCACAUGUCCGACAACGGUAAUACUGACAUUCAAUCAAAAUCUAUGCCACUGUAAAAGUGAUGUGCAAACCGCUGAGCCACAUGACACUACGCCGUGCCCCACUUCAGCAGUUGUGCGCGACGCAGGCCUGGCCUUACCGCCCGCCGGCGGGAGCGGCCACGGCGUAGGGCUUGACCUCGAUAGUGCUGGCGGCGUAGGGCUGGUUGGCGGGCACGUAGGCGCGGGUGGAGCGGUUGAAGCCGGUGGUGACUACAGAGUAGUUCACGUAGGUAAGGUACGCGUUGUUCAUCUCGGUCGCCAGCUGGGUGGGGUCGAUGUAACCAAUGGUCUUACUGUUGAACAUGUUGGUGAGGGUCCGCGUGUUGGUGGUGAUGGUGCGGUUCAGCGUGGGGUCGAACUGCAGCAAGGAAAGGGGGGCAAGGUCACGGGUGGUGGAGGAUACCGUACAUGUCGAACGCGGCAAGCAAGUCGCGCGCUCAGCGUGGGCAAGUGUGUGUGUGUGUGCGGGUGUUUGGUUAUGCGUGUUUUGGAGAGCAUAAUUAGAAGAGAGCGAAACUGUAUGUGAAUGGGAAGGUGUGUGUGUGUGUGUGUGUGUGUGCGCGCGCGCGCAAGGGGGAACGCUUAGCCCGCUGCCGAGGUGAUACAGGCGACAUGAGAAGAAACGCAUGACAACUGGGCUGGUUGCCUAGGUAGCGAUGAUGCUCGUAACAGGGGCCAUUGGUUGUAUCCGCGCCGGGGCAUGCAUGUAAAUGCUGCAGCUGGGCCUCGCCGGUGAACCCACCUGACCAGGGAAGCUGGUGUUCACCGCCACGUUGGAGGCGUUGAGCGAGCGGUAGAUGACGGUGGUCAGGUUGCGGAUGGACUGCAAGGCAAGGGCAAGGAGCACGCGUAGGGUAAGGCGCAGAACUGUUGGGGACUGGGGAGGCAACGUGCCGCGAACGGCAGGACUCGAUACGUGAAAGGCCAAGAGCCCAGCCGGCGUGCUCACACAGCACAAAGCCAAACAGAGGGCCAGGGCUCACCGUCUCAUACUUCAAGAUGUCCUUGCCCAUGGUCAGCGACGGAGCGUAGGCGCCGAAAGCGAAGAUGGCGGCAGACAGGAAGCCGGCAAUGAUCAGGGUGAACACCCAGGCGGCGAAUUGCUGAGGGGAGACGAAGGAUGGGAAAGGGAUGUCAACAAGGCAUGUAAGCAAGCAUGGGCCGUGGGCGGUGUGUCCUGAGUCACAAAUGGCAUUGGCUGCAUCCAUCACAUGACAGGUUACUCCCAUGGCCACGAGCACCCCGCCCCGCACCUUGGCCAGCAGCCUGUAGUUCACGCCGGUGCGGACGCUCUCGACCAGGCCCACACCCAUUUCGGCACCGGUGAUAAUCUGAGUGGUGGACACAGGCAGGCCGUACACGGAGGCGACGGAGAUGGUGAUGCCGGCGGCCAGCUCAGCGCAGUAGCCACGGGCGGGAGUCAUCUGCGUGGCCAGACACGUUUGGGACCACUGUCAGUCUCGCUGCGCAAAGCAAGUGUGGAGCACUGCGCCAUCCCGUACGUUCCAAGUGAUGUUCCCUCUCCAGUGCCAUUUUAACGGCACGAAGUAAAACCCCUUGGGCUGUGCGCACCUUGGCCAGGCCCACGCCCAGGGUCACAAUGAUGUUGUAGCCGUAGGUAGCCAGGCCCACCACAAUGCCGGCGCCGCCCAUAGCAAGCACCCAGAUGGGGGUCUCGCCGUUGGAGGCGACGUUCCAGAAGCGGUACACGUGGUAGAUACCGGCGAAGGGGCCCACAGCGUUGGCGACAUCGUUGGCUCCGUGCGCGAAAGACACGGCGCAGGCGGAGAAGACCUGCAGGUACUUGUACACCUGCUCGGUCUCGGGGGAGAACACCUCGGCGGCGGCGUGCAGGUCGUGGACGGCACGGUCGGUCUCGACGUUCUGCAUUAUUUCAGCCAGGCGAGGGCAUAAGGAGCACAGGCACAGGUCAAGAAUGCACAUGCAGGGGCUGUGUAAUGUGGGCAUGCACGCAUGUCUGACCCAGCAAACUUGAAACAGAACGCAUGUAUGGCGUGACAGACCGAAAGCCUGUGACCAAAGCACCAAGGCCUUCCUAUCCAACGCAAAAAACACUAACCCACCGCAUGGAUGUCCACGUCCAGGCCACGGGUGGCGGCCUUCUUGAUCGAGUUGAAGAUCUUCAUGGCCUUGGAGGUGGGCUCAGCAUCCUCCACACCCUCCUUCUCCUUGCCAGCGUUGGCCUCGGCGUCAGCGGCCUUCUGGGCAGCCCUGCAGGCGCGCCGAUAAGAGCGAAUGUGUCAGCGACAAACAAACAGGAGCAUAAGCAACUCAAGCCGAAACAUGUUCAUACAACCGAGUAUGGGAUGAACAAACAGAUGUGCAGGUGCAGGCGCACGCCAAGGCCUGUCCACCAACCCAACUCACUCGUCCAUGUCCUUGGUGACCUGGCGGCGCAGAAUCCAAGUGCCGGGGAAGCAAGCCAGCACAAACAGGCCUGCGGGCAAAGCACGAGACACAUGUAGGCAUCAAUGACGUGAGAACGCAGGGGCAAGACACGUGAUUGAUGCACCUGAUGCCAUUGCAAACAAGAUGUAUGGAAACUGCGUGUGCUGCGACGCAGCGACGGCGGACCUACUCUGGCAUGGCAUGUGUGUGCAGCCCCUUGCUUAAAACCCGGCCGCGCACUGAGUGCCGCCACAAUCGUAGUAGCUUACCAGCAGCCACCACGGCCGACACCCAGGCGGCCUUGUGGCUGGUCCAGCCCGCAACCUUGCUGGCGCCCUUGUAGAUAACGAAGAAGAGGUUGAUGAACACAGUCAGGAACACCAGCAACGGGAACACCCAGAUGGCCAGGGUGGUGGAGUUCUGGCGGCGCAGCACGAUGAGGCGGUUGAAAAAGUAGAGGACACCGGCAGCAAUGCCUGAAUGGAUGGGCGGGAAGCAGGACAAGCAAGGCAUGAUGGGGUCAGAGGACAGCAAAACAACCAUCACCAUCUAUCAAAAUGCUCAGCACCGCGGUACGUAAUGCACUUAAACAAUUACCCAGCCACGCGUCUACGCACCAGCAGUGAUGGGCGACACGAACCAGGAGCAGAUGACGGGCACCAGACCGGUAGAGUAGGGGAACUCCUUCUUGCGGUCGUUCCACACCACGGCGCCGGAACCGCCCCACACCAGAGCAAAGCCCAGCACGGCGCCGAUGAUGGAGUGGGUGGUGGACACGGCCAGGGACAGGUACGUGGCAAUGUAAAGCCAGGUAGAGGCGGAGAUCAGGGCGCACAGCAUGCCGUACGCAAACAUCUCGGGCAUGUCUUGGAACGCGGCGGGGCGGGCGAUGGAGCCGGCGAUGGUGCGUGCCACCUCGCCGCCCAGGCCCAGGGCACCAGCG